Molecule: long non-coding RNA, 74733 nt
Filed under: Triticum aestivum (bread wheat)
Lineage: Eukaryota; Viridiplantae; Streptophyta; Magnoliopsida; Poales; Poaceae
Description: long non-coding RNA (TAES_LNC025414)
Source: RNAcentral
UUUUUUUUGGUCGAACCAGUGGGGGCACGCUGAGUGCACCCACUGGGUGUAGUCCCCGAGACUACUGUCGAAUGUUUUUGAUUCGGCUGUAGUCUUAGAAACGCCAUCAUUGUCUCUUGGUUACUCGGAAGCAACUUAUCUUGGAUGUCUAUCGACUGAUUUUUUGCAGAAAUCCUGCGAACUUGUGGCUCGCUACACUGAGUUGGAGAACAAACAGAUCCAAUUGAACCUUGCCUUGAAGCUUGCUCAGGAGAACUUGCAGAAGGCGAGGGACGAAGCAAAAGGUAUGGUUGGUGAGAUUUUGUCGACUGUCCUUUCUUUCUGGCCGUCCUCGAUGUUGAUCUCACUUGCUGUUUCAUAGACAAAAUGGAGGAGGCUCUGAAGAAGAAGGAUCAAGACCUUGCCGAAGCGCAGAAGGAGGCCCUGAACAAAACAAAGCUUGCUGAAGAAAAGCUGGCUUCAGUCGGUACUCUUGAAAAGGAAAACUCCAGGCUGAAAACUCCUCUCGACGCGGCUAAUCGAGAGGCCAGCCGUCUGAAGAAUGGCAAUAUAGCUCAGAAUGACAAGGCAAGUGAACUGGCAGGGAAGAGGAACGAUCUGGAGGCUUAUCUCGGUGGACUCGCCAAGAAGCUGUUCGUCAUGCUCGAGGGUAAUUACUCCGGCCCGACUGACUUGCAGUUACCAAAUCUACGUAGAGCCACUGACUUAUCCUUGAAUUGUGUUUACAGAAUUCUGCCAGAACUUCGAAGAGGAGACCAGUCGAGUGGAGACAGACUUGGACCCCAUCAAUUCUCCAGUGAAGGACGAGGCUGCUAUGAACGUGCUCCGACUGGAAUCUCGUGUUGCCGGCGUUGUUGACUAUCUUGCUCGGUUGAAGGUUGCGAUGUCAAGGAUCAACACGUCGCUCUGGCCUAGGACGACGCUUCAAAAUGACCUCGAGUCCCUGAUGACUCGACUGAAUGAAGUCCCAGGUCGAGUGGCGAAAUGGAAGAAAUCUUCUUCUAGAUGUGGCGCUGACGUCGCUCUGUCUCUGGUCCGCGUCCACUGCAAGGAGGCGCGAGAAGAAAAGUUGGCCGCCAUCCAAGUUGCCAAUACCAGGAAGCACAACUUUCAAGACUUCAUGGAGACUUUCAUUGCUGCUGCCACUCGCAUUGCAGACGGGAUCGACUUGGACGAGUUCGUCGCCCCUUCCAGUCCUCCGCAUGAGGAAUAAAAACUUUUAUGCUUCACUUUAAAUUUGCCUCGGAAUGCCAAGUGGAUUUUGUAACCGUUAAACUCUGUCGAGCUGGAGGCUUGAGUACUUUGAUCUGCGGUCUAGAACCUUUGGAUCUUAUCUGAACUUGAUUUAUCGUUGAAUAUCUUCAUGAAUUAUCUGUCGAGUGGAACUUGUUCUUCACUCGAAAUAACUUUGUAUUUGUGGUGCAACUCCGAAGGAGAAGGUAGCAGUCAAUUUGCACCUCGUCGUCCUUGCGGAUUGGGAUGUGUUCCGUACUUAGGCGAGCACUGGGCUGCAGCUAAGCCUCCGAGUGGAAGGUCUGCUCUCCACUCGGUAGGAUUUUAAAAACUUAGGCGACUACUGGACUGUAGCUAAGCCCCCGAGUGGGAGGUCUGCUCUCCACUCGGUAGGAUUUUUUCAAACUUAGGCGAGUACUAGACUGCAGCUAAGCCCCCGAGUGGGAGGUCUGCUAUCCACUCGGUAGGAUUUUUUCAAACUUAGGCGAGUACUGGACUGCAGCUAAGCCCCCGAGUGGGAGGUCUGCUCUCCACUCGGUAGGAUUUUUUCAAACUUAGGCAAGUACUGGACUGCAGCUAAGCCCCCCGAGUGGGAGGUCUGCUCACCACUUGGUAGGAUUUUUAAAUACUUAGGCGAGCACUGGGCUGCAGCUAAGCCUCCGAGUGGGAGGUUUGCUCUCCACUCGGUAGGAUUUUUAAACACUUAGGCGAGCACUGGGCUGCAGCUAAGCCUCCGAGUGGGAGUCUAGCUCACCACUCGGUAGGAUUUUUAAACACUUAAGCGAGCACUGGGCUACAGCUAAGCCUCCGAGUGGGAGUCUGGCUCACCACUCGGUAGGAUUUUUAAACACUUAGGCGAGCACUNNNNNNNNNNAGUGGGAGGUUUGCUCUCCACUCGGUAGGAUUUUUAAACACUUAGGCGAGCACUGGGCUGCAGCUAAGCCUCCGAGUGGGAGUCUGGCUCACCACUCGGUAGGGUUUUUAAACACUUAGGCGAGCACUGGUCUGCAGCUAAGCCUCCGAGUGGGAGGUUUGCUCUCCACUCGGUAGGAUUUUUAAACACUUAGGCGAGCACUGGGCUGCAGCUAAGCCUCCGAGUGGGAGUCUGGCUCACCACUCGGUAGGAUUUUUAAACACUUAAGAGAGCAUUGGGCUGCAGCUAAGCCUCCGAGUGGGAGUCUGGCUCACCACUCGGUAGGGUUUUUAAACACUUAGGCGAGCACUGGGCUGCAGCUAAGCCUCCGAGUGGGAGGUUUGCUCUCCACUCGGUAGGAUUUUUAAACACUUAGGCGAGCACUAGGCUGCAGCUAAGCCUCCGAGUGGGAGGUUUGCUCUCCACUCGGUAGGAUUUUUAAACACUUAGGCGAGCACUGGGCUGCAGCUAAGCCUCCGAGUGGGAGUCUGGCUCACCACUCGGUAGGGUUUUUAAACACUUAGGCGAGCACUGGGCUGCAGCUAAGCCUCCGAGUGGGAGGUUUGCUCUCCACUCGGUAGGAUUUUUAAACACUUAGGCGAGCACUGGGCUGCAGCUAAGCCUCCGAGUGGGAGGUUUGCUCUCCACUCGGUAGGAUUUUUAAACACUUAGGUGAGCACUGGGCUGCAGCUAAGCCUCCGAGUGGGAGUCUGGCUCACCACUCGGUAGGAUUUUUAAACACUUAGGCGAGCACUGGGCUGUAGCUAAGCCUCUGAGUGGGAGUCUGGCUCGCCACUCGGUAGGAUUUUUAAACACUUAGGCGAGCACUGAGCUGCAGCUAAGCCUCCGAGUGGGAGUCUGGCUCGCCACUCCGUAGGAUUUUUUUUACAAACUUAGGCGAAACGGAUUCGCAGCUAAGCCACCCACUGGGGGAUUUCACACGCAAACAAAAGCAACAACAAUUAUAGGAAAAUUUGUAACACUCUUGUCUUUGAUAAAUAGACUACAGAAGUUUUUCUUAUUACAUCUCAUCCGAGUGAGAAUUCAAGUGUGAAAGGGGCGGAGCAGUUCUGCAUUCCAAGCUCGUGGCUCAUCGAUCUGGCGAUUGACAUUGUAAAGGUGAUACGCUCCAUUGUGGAGGACUCUGGUGACGAUGAAGGGACCUUCCCAAGUAGGAGCGAGCUUGUGUGGUUUCUGUUGAUCCACUCGGAGGACCAAAUCUCCUUCUUGGAAGGCUCGACUCUUCACAUUUCUGGCAUGGAAUCAACGCAAGUCUUGCUGAUAAAUGGUCGAUCAGAUCAUACCCAUUUCUCUUUCUUCUUCUAGGAGGUCGACUGCGUCUUGUCGGGCUUGUUCUACUUCAUCUUCGGUAUAAAGCUCGACUCGGGGUGCAUUGUGAAGUAGAUCACUCGGCAGGACUGCUUCCGCUCCGUAAACCAGAAAGAACGGAGUUCUUCCAGUCGACCGAUUCGGGGUCGUCCUCAAUCCCCACAGAACCGAUGGAAGCUCGUCGACCCAAGCGCCUGUUGCGUGCUUGAGAUCACGCAUCAGCCGAGGCUUUAGUCCUUUGAGAAUCAGACCAUUUGCCCUUUCUGCUUGUCCAUUUGACUGGGGGUGGGUGACCGAUGCGUAGUCGACUCGUGUGCCUUGAGAGGCGCAAAAAGCUCUGAACUUGUCUGAAUCAAAGUUUGACCCAUUGUCGGUGAUGAUGCUAUGCGGGACUCCAUAUUUGAAUGUUAACUCUCUGAUGAAACUGGUACCAGUGCAAGCAUCAAGAUUCUUGAUAGGCUUAGCUUCAAUCCAUAUGGUAAACUUGUCGACUGCCACAAGCACAUGUGUGAAACCGCUCCUGCCUGUUCUCAAUGGGCCAACCAUGUCCAGUCCCCAAACAGCGAAGGGCCAGACGAGUGGAAUGGUCUUCAGGGCUGAUGCAGGCUUGUGCGACAUGUUGGAGUAGAACUGGCACCCUUCACACUUGUCGACUAUCUCUUUUGCCAUUUCAUUCGCUCUUGGCCAGUAAAAUCCCGCUCGGUAUGCUUUAGCCACAAUGGUCCGAGAGGACGCAUGAUGACCACAGGUCCCCGAGUGGAUAUCAUCAAGGAUUAUCUGACCUUCUUCUAGUGAUAUACACUUCUGACCGACUCCAGUCGCACUUUCUCUAUACAACUGUCCCUUUAUGACUGUAAAGGCCUUGGAUCGACGGACGAUCUGUCGAGCCUCUUCUUCGUCCUCCUGGAGUUCCUUUCUCAGGAUAUACGCGAUGUACGGUAUCGUCCAGUCAAGGGUGAUUGCCAAAACUUCCAUGAUUAGGUCGACCACUGCCGGAAUUUCAACUUCAGUCAGAUCUGUGGCACUCUUUGGCUGCGGGGCUUCAUCUGUAAAAAGGAUCUUCUUGGACUGAUGGCGAGUGGAUGUGUUCCAAAAACACAUUGCUGGGGAUGGCUUCUCUCUUGGAGCCUAUCUUUGCCAAAUCAUCAGCCGCUUGAUUUUUUAGUCGGGGGAUGUGAUGAAGCUCUAACCCCUCAAAUUUCUUCUCUAACUUUCUCACUGCAUUGCAAUAACCAGUCAUAGCUGGACUUCUGACGUCCCAUUCUUUCAUCACCUGAUUAACCACCAAAUCUGAGUCGCCAUAGACCAUGAGGCGACGGACGCCGGGUGAAAUGGCCAUGCGCAACCCAUACAACAGUGCUUCAUAUUCUGCUUCGUUAUUGGAGGAAUCGAAGUGAAUCUAGAGAACAUAUCUGAGCUUAUCUCCUCGGGGGGAAACCAAUACUACCCCAGCACCGGAACCAUUCAGCAUCUUAGAUCCAUCGAAGAACAUGGUCCAGUGCUCCGAGUGAACUUGAGUCGGAAGUUGCUAUUCGAUCCACUCGGCGACGAAAUCUGCAAUUGCUUGGGACUUGAUAGCUUUCUUUGCCUCAAACUUGAUAUCUAGGAGAAGAAGUUCAAUCGCCCAUUUGGCCACUCGACCAGUUGCAUAUCUAGUGGAGUGUCGCUGACGACUGUAAUGGAAUGAUCGGAGAAGUAAUGUGCAACCUUCUUCGUGGUCAUAUAAAUCCCAUAUACAAGCUUCUGGUAAUGAGGAUAUCUUUGCUUUGAAGGAUUCAAAACUUCAGAAACAUAAUAUACUGGGCGCUGAACUUUGAAGGCCUUUCCUUCUUCUUCCCGCUCGACCGUAAGUAUUGUACUGACAACUUGUCCUGUGGCUGCAAUGUAAAUCAGCAAAGGCUCCUUGCUGAUUGGGGCAGCAAGCACCGGCUGGGUGGAGAGCAGAGCUUUGAGCUCUGUAAACGAUGCAUCAGCUUCUGGAGUCCACUCGAACUUGUCGGACUUCUUCAUCAGUCGGUAAAGAGGCAAUGCCUUUUCAUCGAGGCGAGAGAUGAAUCGACUUAAAGCGGCCAAGCAUCCUGUAAGCUUCUGGACGUCAUGCACAUGCACAGGAUGUUUCAUCCGGAGUAUAGUACCAAUUUUUUCAGGAUUGGUGUCGAUUCCCCGUUCGGAAACGAGAAAACUGAGUAACUUCCCACCUGGAACUCCGAACAUGCACUUUGACGGAUUGAGCUUGAUAUCAUACCUCCUGAGGUUGGCAAAGGUUUCAGCAAGGUCAGUCAGUAGGUCGGAACCCUUCCAUGACUUGACCACAAUAUCAUCCAUGUAUGCCUCCACAUUCCGACUGAUUUGAGUGAGCAAACACUUCUGAAUCAUCCUCAUGAACGUGGCUCCGGCGUUCUUGAGGCCGAACGGCAUGGUGACAUAACAGAAGCACCCGAAUGGAGUGAUGAAAGUUGUUUUGAUCUCGUCGGGCCCGUACAGACGGAUCUGAUGGUACCCGGGAUAGGCGUCUAGGAAAGACAAACGCUCACAUCCCGCAGUCGAGUCGACUAUCUGGUCGAUGCGGGGGAGAGGAAAAUGAUCUUUCGGGCAGGCCCGAUUGAUAUGCUUGAAAUCAAUGCACAUGCGAAGUGACUUGUCCUUCUUGGGGACCAUGACAACAUUGGCGAGCCACUCGGAGUGGUAAAUUUCUCGAAUGAACUCCGCUGCUAAGAGCUGAGCCACCUCCUCGCCAAUGGCCUUCCUCUUCUGGACGGCGUACCGUCGAAGAUGUUCUUUCACAGGUUUAAAUUUUGGGUCGACUCAUAGACGGUGCUCAGCCAGCCCCCUGGGAGCUCCAGGAAUGUCAGCAGGCUUCCAUGCGAAGAUGUCCCAGUUCUCACGGAGGAACUGGAUGAGCGCUUCUUCCUAUUUGGAGUCGACCGUCGUUGAGAUGUGAGUCGGAGCAGCGUUUGGAUCGGUCGGGUGAAUGUGAACUGCCUUCAUUUCACCGGACGACUAAAAAGCUGAUUCUGAAGCAGGCUUCUUAGCUCGUAGCAACUCACUCGGAUCUGCAGUCUUCUGAUACUCUUGCAGCUCGACCACCACCAUCUGAGCAUCAGCAAUCUUUGGGCCUUUCUAAAAACACUCUUCUUCUUUCUUCCGAUUGCCUGUAACAGCGAUCACACCUUUGGGACCAGGCAUCUUCAAUUUGAGAUACACAUAACAUGGUCGAGCCAUGAAGCGUGCAUAAGCUGGCCUGCCCAAAAUAGCGUGAUAAGCACUUUGGAAAUCCACAACUUCGAAUGUCAACUUUUCCUUGCGGUAAUUCUUGGAAUCACCAAAAACCACAUCAAGAGCAAUUUGGCCGAGUGACUCGGCUUUCUUCCCAGGAAUGACUCCAUGGAAACUCAUGUUACUGGUGCUGAGCCUGGACAUCGGAAUGCCCAUCCCUUUCAAUGUUUCUGCAUACAGUAUGUUCAAACCGCUGCCUCCAUCCAUCAGGACUUUGGUCAGUCGAGUGCCUUCGACAAUUGGGUCGACCACCAGAGCUUGCCUCCCAGGGGUGGCAAUGUGCGUAAGGUGAUCAGACUGGUCGAAUGUGAUGGCAGUCUAGGACCACUUCAGAUAAUUGGGUGUUGCCAGAGCAACCAUAUUUACAUCACGGUUAAUAACCUUCAGUCGACUUUUGCUCUCAACAUCAGCAAAAAUCAUCAGGGUGGAAUUGACCUGGGGGUACCCAUCAUCACUAUCUUCCUUGUCCUCAACUUUGUUCGACCCCUUUUCCUUAUCUUUGGACUGCUUGCCCUGAAACUGCUGGAUCAGAAGCCGACACUGUCGAGUGGUAUUCUUUGGGUAAAUGAGUUUACCCUCUUCAUCUUUCUUGGUGUGGAUGUGACACGGUAGAUCCAAAACAUCAUUUCCAUCUUGGUCUUUAACUUUCUUGGGGUUCCAAGGUCCUUUGGGUUUUCCCUUAAAUUUUCCCUGGGUUACGGCCAGGGCCUCCCCAGGAGCGGUUGGCUCGGCUUUCCGCUUCUGUUUCCGACUGGAAUUUCCUCCGGUUUCCUGGGCGACUACUUUAUGCUUGCCACUCCGGAGUCGAUCCUCAUCUUCACCAUUAGCGUAUUUGGUGGCAAUCUCCAUCAUCCGAUUCAGAGACAUCUCUCCGGUUCGACCGAACUUCAGAUUCAAUUCUCUGUACUUAACGCCUUCUUUAAAGGCACAAACUGCUUGAUGAUCUGGUACAUUUUCAACUGUGUGAUGCAAUGUGAUCCACCUCUGGAUGUAAUCCCUCAGAGUUUCAUUCGGUUUCUGCACGCAAGACCGCAAUUCCAUAAGGCCUGCAGGUCGCUUGCAUGUUCCUUCAAAUGUGGUGACAAACACUCGGGAGAGAUCCUCCCAAGUGUAAAUGCUGCUGGGUGCUAACUGAUUCAGCCACGCUCUGGCCGAGCCUUCUAACAUGAGAGGCAGGUGCUUCAUGGCUACCUCAUCGUUCCCACUGCCAAUCUGGACAGCCACUCGGUAAUCUUCGAGCCAAGUAUCGGGCUUGGACUCAUCGGUGAACUUACUAACUCCAGUCGCCAACCUGAAGUUGGGAGGAAUUACAGCGGCUCUGAUGGCUCGACUGAAACACUUCGGCCCUGAAACAUGUACUCUGCUACUGGUAGGCGCAUCUCUGUCGUGACCUUCUCGGUGAGCUCUAUUCCUGUCGACCAAACCUUGAACGAGAAUGGAUCUUGCAUCAAAGCCUGGUUCCCUGGGGUUGACUGGAAUUCUCCGCCCAACACUAUGAGGGCGUCUGUCCACCUGCUGUCGAGGCACAUAUGAUCCACUCCUCGGGGGAGGGGUUGGCACUCGACGUCGAUCAUCAUGAUCGAAUCGGUGAUCAUACUGCUCAUUCCUUCUGUACUGAUCACGCCGAUCUCCACGUCCCUCACGCCUCGGAGGCGAUCUUGGGCUGUGAGCCGACUGGACUGCAUCCGCUGCAACGGAUCGACUGUGGAUCCUGUUCCGCGACUGAGAAACAGCAGAAUUCUGGUCUCCCGCUGCCCGGAGCAACGCUCUGAUUUGCAACAAGCCUCUGCCAGCCUCUGACUGGGAGGGCUGAAUCGACUCUGCUAUACGGGCCGCAGCCGCCAAAUUCUGAAUCAGAGUACAAUAUACUUGCGGGGGCGGAAAGAGUUGACGUCGACUGGAUUCUGGAGCCCGUUGACGCGCUCGCCCGUCGAGUAUUCGCUGGAGAUUCUCCAGUCGAGUGCGCUCGGCCAAGUUAGCCAAGCGUGCGUCCUCCAAGGCUCGGGCCUCGGGGGUUUCUCCAAUGAUAGGAGUGUGGAGUGCAUCCAUAUUCCGGCGGCGAAGUUCCUCCCGCUGCAACGACGUGAGAGGCUCGGGGAGAUACUCCUUGUGAGGACGCGACGGGUCGCCCCCAUCCGCGCCUCCGUCAGCACGGGGGAAACCGGGAGGACUGUGUGGCCCAUCGAUCACCAUAACCUCUGCAGUUGGGUCACUGCUGUCGCAUUCGCAUGCGGUCUCUGUGGAGCCAGUCGACAGGUCGAACAGGCCGUAGAGGGAUUCGUCGGGCUUGAUUGCCGCGACUUGUGGGGUGGCCGACUGGCGGGCCACCGCAUGCCUCACAUACCUCUGAAGCCUCGACUGACCGGAGCGCUUGCGCCGGUGAGAAACAGGGCGGGGAGAUGCCACGGGAGCCGACCGAUACUGGGUCGACGGCUGCCGCAGGAGGACACCACGGACGCAUGCGCGAAAGUGCGUCGCCCCGCGGACGGGGAGCGCGUCGACAUCGAGUGGAGCCUCCUGAAGCCAAGUGGAGUCGUCGGCGAUGAACGUGAGCGCGCCGAGACGGAUCUCGCGGCCCUCCACCAAAGCUCCGCUCGAAACCAUGAUCAAGGAGAUCGGAAAAAAUCACAACUUCUCAAACUAGGCGCUAAGACUCCUAGCCCCAUGGUGGGCGCCAACUGUCGUGGUUCUAACUCUGACAGUGAUGUAGGGGGGUAUGUAUGGAGAGGCUAGAUCUUAGCUAUGGAUGAGUUGUAAGCACACGAGGAUUACGAGUUCAGGCCCUUCUCGGAGGAAGUAACAGCCCUACGUCUCGGUGCCCGGAGGCGGUCGACUGAAAUAUGUGUGUAUGAAUAACAGGGGUGCCAACCCUUGAUACUGAGGAGGGGGGUGGCUUAUAUAGAGUUUGCCAGGCCCCUCCAGCCCUCAGUAAUGCAAGGUUUAAAGUACAUUAAGACUGGGGGUUACUGGUAACGCCCCUAAUAAAGUGCUAUGAUGACCAUAAAAGCUACUUAAUGACCGACCGUUUGCGUGCAGGGUGACUUUAGAUCUCCUGGCAGUCGAGUGGUUGGAAUUUGGUCGAGUGAUUGCUUCGUGGUCGAGUGUCUUGAAUCUGUCGAGGGGGAUACCUCCAAGUCGAUUGAAAGGUGACUUCUUCUAGGGAUGUCCUUGGGUAGGGUACUUAGGACAGGUCCAUGCCCCUAUCCUAGGUACAUAGCUUAAUCACCCGCCGCCGCCCGCACCCAGCUCGCCCGCGCGCUGCCCAUCCGCCUUCGCCGGCUCCGCCCCGCCGCCGCAUUGUUCGCUGUCGUCCGCCUCGCCGGCGCCGCGCGCCACCGACGCCCUGCGCCGCCACCGCGCCCGGCGCAGCCUCCUCUGCCUCCCCGCGCCGCCAAGGCCAGAUCCGGUGCCUCCUCACCGGCGCCUCUCCUCCUCCCGCUCUGGCAAGCCCCGGCCGGCCUCCUCCUUGAUGCCGGCAUCUUCUCCAGCGAGCUCCGGUGACGAACCUCGUACAACGCGCCCGAUCUGGAUCCGGUGCUACAGUGGAACCCUAGGGUUGACCUCGUUUCCUGCCUAAGUUUGCAUUAUUUCUAGCAUACUUCAUUGCAUCAUAACUUUGCAUCUGUGGCUCCGUUUUGGGCGUGUAGCAUAUCCAAUUGUUCGUCUCGAUGUGCACUUCAUUUCAUUCCAUUGCACCAUGUUCAUUUGAGUUCAUCUUGAUGCCCUAAAUGCUGUUGCGAGAGUGCUAUGUAAUGUUUUCAGAUUCUUAACAGAUUAUGGACAUUUGUCAUUUUUCCAUGUUAAAUGUGUGCCUCCUAUGAUCUUGAGCCCUACAUGUGUUUUGUAGUAUGCCAUUCAUCUUUACAGGGGUGUAUGCCAUGUAUUUUUGUGAUCAUUGUGGUGACUAGCACAAGCAUGCAAAGUAGCUCUCGUGAUGUUGCUGAUUUCAGGGACUUAGAAUUCUUCUAAGUCUUUUCCCUGAUAAUAUUUUUAUGCCAUGUAUUCUUGUUGCUACAGAGUGAUCCAUGCCUCUUUUGAGCAUGUUCAGUAAGGAUGAUUUUGAUUUAUUGUUGUGCUCUAUCCAUCCAUGUCUUUGUUUGCAAUUAUGGAGCACACUAGCAUGACUCAAUCUUGCUCUACUUUUGCUAUAAAAUGUUCCUGGCAGAUUGUUUACAUGUUAAGCAAUUUUGCCGAGGUUGUUAUAGUUUAUCCAUGCAUGCUAUGAGAGUGUUCUUGCCAUGGUUAGCUUAUUUAUCAUUUCUACUUGCUGGGUGUAUGCUUAAUUUGUCAUGCAAUGCCUUAUGGUGAGUGCAUCGAGCUCGCAAACAUGCUUAUGUAAAUCUGUUUUUGCCAUGUUCCAGUUUUCUGCUAAGUCUGAAUCUGUUAACGAAACUUGCAAUGUUCACAUGGUUGCCAUUGUAUUUUCUGAUCCCUUUUGGCUUAUGGUCAGUAAGGGACUUUUGUUAUAUGCUUUGUGUAGUUUCAUGCCAUGCCUUGCUUUGCCAUGAUAUGUUCCUGUAGCAUGUUGUUAUCUUGCUCUAAACAUUGCUUCCUGAUGUUAAAUUCCUGACAUGUUGUUGAUUUCACUAAGUCUGUGAACCUGAUAUCUUUUGCCCUUUUGACAUGCUUGUUUGAACCUGCUAUUGUGUCAUUUAGCCAUAGCUCAGUGUUCAUAUUUUGUCAAGCAUCUUGAGUGGAUCACUGCCAUGUGCUUUGUUGCUAUGUUAGAGUGCAGUAGCUUAUUGUUCUUGAUGCAUUUAGAUGGCCUCGUGCUGUUAAUCGCAGCUUUGUGCCAUUAUUUGUUUUGCUUGUCAUUUGCAAACCGUGCAUCCAAUUCCAGUGAUCUUUAUAUCGAUUUCGACCGAAAUCAACUCAUCUUUCCAGCGGCACUCUUGGUUUUCCAAGUUGAGUCCUGGUUCAAUCUUUUCCUUCCGAAGCACGCAUAUGCAUUGCAUAUCACAUCCCGCAUAUCAUGCCAUGUUUUGCAUCAUGUUGCUUGCGCAUUGCACCAUGGUUGAUUGUGUCUCCCUUUGCUUGUGUUCUUGCUUUGGGUAGAGCCGGGAGACGAGUACAUGAUCGAGGAACCCAUUGAGAACGCUUACGAGGAUCAAGCUUACGUCAACUCGGAGAACUUUGCAGGCAAGAUGACCAUACCCUCGAAAUCACUUCUAUCUUUGCUUGCUAGUUGCUCGCUCUAUUGCUAUGCCUAUGCUAUGAUACCUACCACAUGCUUUAUCAUGCCUCCCAUAUUGCCAUGUCAAACUUCUAAUCCACUUUGUCCUAGCAAACCAUUGUUUGGCUAUGUUACCGCUUUGCUCAGCCCCUCUUAUAGUGUUGCUAGUUGUAGGUGAAGAUUGGAGUUUGUUCCUUGUUGGAACAUGUUUAUUGUUGGGAUAUCAUUAUUAUAUCUUGUUUACUUUAAUGCACCUAUAUACUUGGUAAAGGUUGGAAGGCUCGGCCAUAUGCCUGGUGUUUUGUUCCACUCUUGCCGCCCUAGUUUCUGUCAUACCAGUGUUAUGUUCCUUGAUUUUGCGUUCCUUACAUGGUUGGGUUAUAAUGGGAACCCCUUGACAGUUCGCCUUGAAUAAAACUCCUCCAGCAAGGCCCAACCUUGNNNNNNNNNNNNNNNNNNNNNNNNNNNNNNNNNNNNNNNNNNNNNNNNNNNNNNNNNNNNNNNNNNNNNNNNNNNNNNNNNNNNNNNNNNNNNNNNNNNNNNNNNNNNNNNNNNNNNNNNNNNNNNNNNNNNNNNNNNNNNNNNNNNNNNNNNNNNNNNNNNNNNNNNNNNNNNNNNNNNNNNNNNNNNNNNNNNNNNNNNNNNNNNNNNNNNNNNNNNNNNNNNNNNNNNNNNNNNNNNNGCGGGGGGGCAGCGCUUCUCUAAGUGUUGGUCCAACCUGAGCAAUGUCCGGCGCCCCCUGGGCAACCAGGGUCUAUGCCAACCCGACGUCUGGCUCAUCCGGUGUGCCCUCAGAACGAGAUAUGUGCAGCUCCUAUCAGGAUUUAUCGGCACAUUCGGGUGGCUUUGCUGGUUUAGUUUUACCAUUGUCAAGAUGUCUUGUAACCGGGAUUCCGAGUCUGAUCGGGCCGUCCUGGGAGAAGGAAUAUCCUUCGUUGACCAUGAGAGCUUGUGAUGGGCUAAGUUGGGACACCCCUGCCGGGAUUUGAACUUUCGAAAGCCGUGCCCACGGUUAUGGGCAGAUGGGAAUUUGUUAAUGUCCGGUUGUAGAAAACCUGAAACUAAACUUAAUUAAAAUCUAUCAACAGCAUGUGUGGCCGUGAUGGUCUCUUUUCGGCGGAGUCCGGGAAGAGAACAUGGUCUCGAGUUAUGCUUGAACGUAAGUAGUCUUGGAUCACUUCUUGAUCAUAGUUUCUCGACCGUGCCUUGCCUUCUCUUCUCGCUCUCUUUUGUGUAUGUUAGCCACCAUAUGUGCUAGUGCUUGCUGCAGCUCCACCUCAUACCUUUUCCCUACGUAUAAGCUUAAAUAGUCUUGAUCGUGAGAGUGUGAGAUUGAUGAGUCCCUGUGACUCACAGAUUACUUCCAAAACCAGAUGCAGGGACCGAUGAUACCGUUCCAGGAGAUGCGACUGAGCUCAAGUGGGAGUUCGAUGAGGACUCAGGACGAUACUAUAUUUCCUUUCCAGACGAUCAGUAGUGGAGCCCGGUUGGGGCGAUCGGGGACAUUAUGCAUUUGGGGUUGUCUUUAUUUUGGUUCCAUAGUCAGACCUUGAUUGUAUCUGGAUGAUUGUAAUGCUAUAUUUAUGUUACUGUGUGAAGUGGCGAUUUUAAGCCAACUAUGUACCUCUUUUCUUAUUCAGUACAUGGGAUGUGUAAAGAUUACCCCUCUUGCGACAGUGCCUACAAUGCGGUUAUGCCUCUAAGUCGUGCUCCGACACGUGGGAGAUAUAGCCGCAUCAUGGGUGUUAUAGUAGCACACUGUACCCACACCAUGGAACCCAUGGCCUCGCACUCCCAUUCGAGUGGACCAACGGCAUUCCGACAAAACCCUUCCAUAGCCAUGGCACUCUCCCGGCCACUCCGACCCACUCCCCAAUGGGCUGGUCCUGGGUGGCCCCGUGUCUACCAAAGACACCCCGACCACCAUCGUGGUCAAAACAAUCCCACUCGGGGACUCGGUACCAUAAUCGCAUCAACGAGCACACAAGAUUAUGCCUGCUUACCAGGCCAGGGCAAGCACGGCAUAACCUUCCCUAGUUGGAGGCACCGACCAGAGGCCAUGUCAAUGGACCGAAUCAAGGCCUUCCUAAAAAGGCAAAUGUGGUUGCACUGGGAAAGAAACUCGGUUCCGCGGCACCAUGACCCAGUCAACGGUAUAUUAAAGUUGAGUUAUAUUCAGGUUCAGCUUCAAAAUGAAAAUGACCGGUGUCAUAGCAUGCCAUGAAAUGCAAAACUACACAUGCAUCACAUAAUAAUAAAAAUGACCGAGGUCAUCCAUAUACACACCAAGCAUAAACAUCAACAACUCAUAUCACUCUACUGCUCAAAAUGACUCACAACUUAACCAAAAUAUUUUGCAACAAGUUUUAUUAAUUUCUCACGCAAGAAAGUAACUCCGAUAAAUUUCUCAUAUGCUUGACAAAAGAUUUCACUAUCAACAACUCUUAUCAACUAAGUUGGGUUCAAGCAUUUUGUAAGACAAGUAAAAUGAUUAAACAAGUAUUUAACAGGAUAUUUUCUAGCAAAUUUUUAUCAAUUUAUGUAGGCAAGAACAAAGCUUUAAAUAAUUACUAACAAGCAUAACAAAAUCAUUUCUAACAUCACCACAAAUAAACCUUAACUUGCUUUACCCACUAAACUAGUUUCAAUCAUUCUGUAAAUCAAGCAUAAGAACUAACCAAUAUUUAACAGAAUACCAAUAACACAAUAUUUAAUUAAAUGCAUGGAUUAACCAUUUCAUUCAAGUAAGAAAAUCACAAAUAUUGAAAUGACACCAUGAAAAUGUUGUUGUGGCUUGCCUUAGUGCAGAUGAGGUUCACAAGCCUUCCGGUGAUCCUCAAGACAAGCCUCACCCUCUGAAAAUUAAUUUAAACACAAAAAGCAAAUAUCAAGAACACUUCUGAAAAUCACCAGAAAUUCUAAACAGCUCAGAAAAAUCUCAUCUUUGGUGAGCUGCUAGAUUUCUUUUCAAAGAACACAAUGCAAAAAGAAUCAAUUCAUUUGGACUUAUGGUUGAAGAGUUAUAAUUGUUUGAAGUUCUCUGGAAUAUAAAUGAUUUUGAAUUUAAAUAAACAGCUGAGGGGGGUGACAUCGAAGGCGUAAAACCUCAGGGCGCCACCACUCGUACCGCUUCGCGCACGUACAGAGUGGCUGACUAGCGGGCCCCGCUAGUCAGGUGGGGGAAGGGGGAGAAAGAAACAGAGAAGGUCGCGGCUUCGCCGGAGCUCUCGCCGGCGACGAGGGCUUCUUGGCCCAAAUGAGAGGAAGGUAUUUAGAGAGGGGACAAUGGCGCACCUGCCCGUACCCGUAGCGUGGCUAGGGGUGGUCGGAUGGCGUCGGAAACAAGCUCGCAAGCGAAGGCAGAACGCGGAGAUUGCCGGAGUUGAGGAAGACGGCGAACGAGGGCCACUCCAGGGGCUCCAAGCGGGCGAGACGGCCUCACCGGAGAGAGGCGGAAGCCCUGGAGGGGUUGCCCUGGCCUGGGAGAGGCUAGAGAUUUCGCGACGACCAGAGGGGAUCGCCGGCGAGCUCGAGCUCGGGGACGGCGGCCCGAGGCCUGCCCGGCUGGGCUACGGCUUCCUACGCAGUCAUGGAGUGUGUGGGAGUGCUGGAUGGUGCUCAAGGAGGCUGGGGUGGCCCUAUUUAUAGGUGAGCGGCGAGGGGGCUUCGGGCUCCGCUGGUGGACACCUGUCCCCGAUGCCCGGUGACGAGCGGCGUCAGUGAGAGGGGGAGAAGGUGACAGAGGUCACGCGGCAACUGUGGGUGAACGAAGACGAGCACAUGAUCGAGAGGAUGGCGACGAGCACAGUGCGCUCCACACUGUGGGGCUGGCCGGACCUUGCCCGUGCUUGCUGCGGUGAGCUCUGGCAUCAGCGAGCGCCAGAGGGAGGUUAAGGGCUUAGAUAUGAAGAUGGUGGCGCAGUUUGGCGUGCUCGGGCAGGCAAGGGAAGCGAGCACGCGCGAACAGAGUGCUCGGCAACGCUCAGAGCGCGUCGACACGCAUGCCAACACCCCUGGACGAACGUGGUCACCGCGUGAACUAUGACAUCAGGCCGACCUAAGCACAAACUUGAUGUCUGGCAUGAUGCUCGUGGUAGUUUUGAGUGUUACCAUGAAUUGGUUUGGAUCCAGGUGCAGUAGAGAGGUUUUUACAAGUCAGGUAAGUUUCUGAGCAGUAACUUUGAACAGUUGCUGUGGUCAAACGGCUGGGAUAUUGAGGCUGUUCUUUGGAGGCUAGUUAUAAGUUACUAAGGUAAAGAUGCACAAGAAAGUUCAGGUCAAAUGGAGCAAGUAAAAUGGUAGUUGAUGUAGAAACCACCAUUUCUGUCCAGAACAGAAAAUAUUUUAUAUAGCAAAAAUAUUCCAAAAAGUGAUGAAAUAUUUUUGCUCAGGAAGGUGCCCUAGGGUUCACAGAAUAUUUGUGAAUUAUCUCAGAUUUUUAUGAGCCAUAAAAAUUAGGGUUGCUUUGAAGCAAACAGAUCUGGCUAGAGUUUCUGAGAGAAAAUGAAUAUUUUUCAUUUAAGAAAAAUAUUCCAAAGAUUAUUUUGGGGUGGAUCAGAAGUGAAAUGAUGAUUUAGGAGGGAAGUGCAGCACUUGGGUGAAAGCCAAGGAUGCCCAAGGGUGUAAGUCCUUAUGAAAAGAUUCAAGAACUCCAAGUUUCAGAAAAUUUUCAAAUGAAAAUCAAGCAAAUUAGAGAGGGCAAAACCAGGCUGUCACAAGAUGGAGAUCAAAGGCACAAGAUGAUGAUGGACAUAUCAUAUCACUUAUAUUGAUUGCAUGUGAUGUUUAUCCUUUAUGCAUCUUAUUUUGCUUAGUACGUCGAUAGCAUUAUAAGAUGAUCUCUCACUAAAUUUCAAGGUAUAAGUGUUCUCCCUGAGUAUGCAUCGUUGCUACAGUUCAUCGUGCCGAAACAUGCUACCUCUUGAGCACUGUGUUGGUUUUCCCUUGAAGAGGAAAGGGUGAUGCAGCAAAGUAGUGUAAGUAUUUCCCUUAGUUUUUGAGAACCAAGGUAUCAAUCCAGUAGGAGACUACAUGCAAGUCCCUCGUACCUACACAAACAAAUAAGAACCUCGCAACCAAUGCGAUAAAGGGGUUGUCAAUCCCUUCACGGUCACUUACGAGAGUGAGAUCUGAUAGAGAUAAUAAUAACAAGAUAAAUAUUUUUGGUAUUUUUAUGAUAUAGAUAGUAAAGAUUGCAAAAUAAAAUAGAUUGAAAACUUCUAUGAUAAAAGAUAUACCCGGGGGCCAUAGGUUUCACUAGUGGCUUCUCUCAAGAUAGCAUAAGUAUUACGGUGGGUGAACAAAUUACUGUCGAGAAAUUGAUAGAAAAGUGCAUAAUUAUGGGAAUAUCUAGGCAUGAUCGUGUAUAUAGGCAUCACGUCCGCGACAAGUAGACCGAAACGAUUCUGCAUCUACUACUAUUACUCCACACAUCGACCGCUAUCCAGCAUGCAUCUAGAGUAUUAAGUUCAUAAGAACAGAGUAAUGCAUUAGGCAAGAUGACAUGAUGUAGAGGGAUAAACUCAAGCAAUACGAUAUAAACCCCAUCUUUUUAUCCUCGAUGGCAACAAUACAAUACGUGCCUUGUUGCCCCUGCUGUCACUGGGAAAGGACACCGCGAGAUUGAACCCAAAGCUAAGCACUUCUCCCAUUGCAAGAAAGAUCAAUCUAGUAGGCCAAACCAAACUGAUAAUUCGAAGAGACUUGCAAAGAUAACCAAUCAUACAUAAAAGAUUUCAGAGAAGAAUCAAAUAUUGUUCAUCGAUAAACUUGAUCAUAAACCCACAAUUCAUCGGAUCUCGACAAACACACCGCAAAAAGAGUUACAUCAAAUAGAUCUCCAAGAAGAUCAAUGAGAACAUUGUAUUGAGAUCCAAAGAGAGAGAAGAAGCCAUCUAGCUAAUAACUUUGGACCCGAAGGUCUGUGGUAAACUACUCACACAUCAUCGGAGAGGCUAUGGUGUUGAUGUAGAAGCCCUCUGUCGGUGUCAAAACCGGCGGAUCUCGGGUAGGGGGUCCCGAACUGUGCGUCUAGGCCGGAUGGUAACAGGAGGCAGGGAACACUUUGUUUUACCCAGGUUCGGGCCCCCCUACCCGAGAUCCGCCGGUUUUGACACCGACAUUGGUGCUUUCAUUGAGAGUUCCUCUGUGUCGUCGCCUUUAGGCCCGAUGGAUCCUUUGAUCAUCAACAACGAUACGGUCCAGGGUAAGACUUUUCUCCCCGGACAGAUCUUCGUCUUUGGCAGCUUCGCUAUGCGGGCCAAUUCGCUCGGCCUCCUGGAGCAGAUCGAAAGCUAUGCCCCUGGCCAUCAAGUCAGGUUUGGAAGCUUAAACUACACGACUGACAUCCGCGGAGACUUGAUCUUCGACAGAUUCGAGCCACAGCCAAGUGUGCCGCACUGUCUCGAUGGGCAUGAUAUAGCUCUGCCGCCGAACAGCGCCUUGGACGCCGCACACGCACCGGUUCCGACCCUUAAUUCGGAGCCUAUUGCGCCAACCGAGGAUGAACGGUUGGACGUCACCUCAGGGGCUGCGAUCUCAGAGGCGAUCAAGCCGAACUCCAGCCCCGCACUCCGCAUGGCCCGUGACUCCGAGGAGCCGGAUUCCUCUCCGAACUCUGAGCCCCCCGUGCCCCUGCUGAUCGAAUCCGAUUGGGCGCCAAUCAUGGAGUUCACCGCCACAGACAUCUUUCAGCACUCGCCCUUCGGCGACAUCCUGAAUUCUCUCAAGUCUCUCUCUUUAUCAGGAGAGUCCUGGCCAGACUACGGUCAGCGAGGGUGGAAUACGGACGAUGAGGAAAUUCAAAGCCCACCCACCACCCACUUUGUAGCCACUGUCGACGAUCUAACCGACAUGCUUGACUUCAGCUCCGAAGACAUUGACGGCAUGGACGACGAUGUAGGAGACGAACAAGAACCAGCACCUGUAGGGCGCUGGAAGGCCACCUCGUCAUAUGACAUAUAUACUGUGGAUACUCCAAAAGAUGGAGAUGGCGAUGGAACAGUGGGGGAUGACGCCCCCAAGAAACAGCCAAAGCGCCGGCGUCAGCGGCGCCGCUCUAAAACCCGCCAAAGCAAAAAUGGUGAUUCCGGCACGGGAGAUAAUACUACCCCGGAUAGCGCCGAAGAACACCCACCUCAGCAAAAUUCGGCACAAGAAGAUGGAGAAACCAGCCCUCAUGAGAGAGUGGCAGACCAAGAGGUCGAGGAUGAUAACUAUACGCCUCCCUCCGAAGACGAGGCAAGCCUCGAUGACGAUGAAUUCGUCGUACCAUCAGACCCCGCCGAACAAGAGCGUUUUAAACGCAGGCUUUUAGCCACUGCAAGCAGCCUCAAGAAAAAGCGGCAACAGCUUAGAGCCGCCCAAGAUUUGCUAGCUGACUGAUGGACUAAAGACCUUGUGACCGAAGAGUAUGAACUCGAACGCCCCUCCAAGAGUUACCCGAAGCGCAGGCCGCUACCCCGAUCAGAGGAGGAAGCACCUACAUCACCAGCGCAUGACAUGGCAGACCGGCCACCUCGCGGCCGCGACAAAGAGGCCUCUCGGCCCUCCACCCAAGCCAUGCCCCGACGCCGCUCAACUAAGGCAUGGGAAAUGCGCCCGACCUGCGAGACAUACUAGAGGAUAAGGCAAGACAAACAAGAUCGAUCUACGGAUCACGCAGGCGCCCUACGGCAUAUCACAAUAAUCCUCACUCCAGAUACAACAAAUUCGGCCGGGCCGAACACAACAGACAUAGCUCUUCCGAGCUGCGUCGUGAUAUAGCCCAGUACAGAGGCGUCGCACACCCGCUAUGCUUCACGAAUGAGGUAAUGGAUCAUAAAAUCCCAGAGGGUUUCAAACCCGUAAACAUCGAAUCAUACGAUGGCACAACAGACCCGACGGUAUGGAUCGAGGAUUAUCUCCUUCACAUCCACAUGGCACGCGGCGAUGAUCUACACGCCAUCAAAUACCUCCCACUCAAACUUAAAGGACCAGCCCGGCAUUGGCUUAACAGCUUGCCAGCAGACUCAAUCGGUUCUUGGGAGGACCUGGAAGCCGCAUUCCUCGACAACUUCCAGGGCACUUACGUGCGACCGCCGGAUGCCGACGACUUAAGCCACAUAAUUCAGCACCCAGAAGAAUCGGCCAGACAAUUCUGGACACGGUUCCUAACAAAGAAAAACCAGAUAGUCGAAUGUCCGGACGCAGAGGCCCUAGCAGCCUUCAAGCAUAACAUCCGCGACGAGUGGCUUGCCCGGCACCUGGGACAGGAAAAGCCGAAAUCCAUGGCAGCCCUCACGACACUCAUGACCCACUUUUGCGCAGGAGAAGACAGCUGGCUAGCUCGCAGUAACAACUUAUCAAAGAACCCUGGUAAUUCGGAUACCAAGGACAAAAGUGGCAGGACACGUCGGAAUAAGCAAAAAUGCCGCGUUAACAGCGACAACAAUGAAGACACGGCAGUCAAUGCCGGAUUCAAAGGCUAUAAAUCCGGUCAGCGGAAAAAGCCAUUCAAAAAGAAUACUCAGGGCCCGUCCAGUUUGGACCGAAUACUCGAUCGCUUAUGCCAGAUACAUGGCACCCCCGAAAGGCCAGCCAAUCACACCAACAGGGAUUGUUGGGUGUUCAAGCAGGCAGGCAAGUUAAGGGCCGAAAACAGAGACAAGGGGCUGCACAGCGACGAUGAGGAGCCCAAGCCGCCGAACAACAAUGGACAGAAGGGCUUUCCCCCACAAGUGCGGACGGUGAACAUGAUAUACGCAACCCACAUUCCCAAGCGGGAGCGGAAGCGUGCACUACGGGACGUAUACGCGAUAGAGCCAGUCACCCCAAAGUUCAACCCAUGGUCCUCCUGCCCGAUCACUUUUGAUCGAAGGGACCAUCCCACUAGCAUCCGUCAUGGCGGCUUCGCCGCAUUGGUUCUCGACCCAAUCAUCGACGGAUUUCACCUCACAAGAGUCCUCAUGGACGGCGACAGUAGCCUGAACCUGCUUUAUCAGGAUACAGUGCGGAAAAUGGGCAUAGAUCCCUCAAGGAUUAAGCCCACAAGAACGACCUUUAAAGGCGUCAUACCAGGUGUAGAAGCCAACUGUACAGGCUCAGUAACACUUGACGUGGUCUUCGGAUCCCCGGACAAUUUCCGAAGCGAAGAGUUCAUCUUCGAUAUAGUCCCGUUUCGCAGCGGCUAUCACUCCCUGCUCGAACGAACCGCAUUCGCAAAGUUCAAUGCGGUGCCGCACUACACAUAUCUCAAGCUCAAGAUGCCCGGCCCUCGAGGAGUAAUUACGGUCAACGGAAACACUGAACGCUCCCUCCGUACGGAGGAGCAUACGGCGGCUCUCGCAGCGGAGGUACAAAGUAGCCUUCUCAGGCAAUUCUCCAGCCCGGCCAUUAAAAAGCCAGACACUGCCAAGCGCGCCCAGAGUAAUCCACAGCAGGACCGCCUGACACGCUCUGAGCAAGCAUAGCAAUGCGGCCCCAACCCCAGCUUUCGCAACAUAGCAAAACCAGUACCUCGCGUACAUAACUACGCCCUUGAAAUACCAUGGGCACAGGGGAAGGGGCACAAUAACGGCACACCCAAAAUACGGCUUAAAACAUACUAGGGGCUGCCGGAUUCUUUUUUUUAAUUUUUCUUACUUUCAGGACUCCAUACUUCGGACGACCUGUUCGGCAAUUCGACUGCCGCACAAACGAUGCAAGAUCCAGGGAGGCAGACAAGCCAUGCCGCAUUAUGGAACUCCCAGGUGGUCUCUAUUACGAGCGGUAUACCUGUUUUUAAUACAAUUUCGCGGCCUGCCCCUGGUCAGGACAUACUGAAUAGUCCAAUAUCUUUUGCUUACCGCACUAUUUGUAUCGUUCGGCUUUGGUAAAUAGCCUCUCUAUAAACAAUGCUUAGCUUUUUGUCUAUUUUUUGCAUUACUCUCUUUUAUAUAGGUUCAUUAAUGACAUGUUGCACCCGUACACUGUGGUACGGCAAGUACGCCAGGGGCUUCAGUACCCUUUAAUAUGGUGUGAGAAGUCCGUACACUUUCACAAGUGCGGCACCCCGAACUUAUAGCACUAUAUGCAUCGACUCCGAAUCAUGAUUUGGGUCAAUAGUUGGGUUUGCCCGGCUCCUAUGUUUUGGUGCCUUACGUUCCGCUAUAUCGGCUAAGGUAGCACUAGGAGAACCACUGCGAUUGUGCCCCGGUUGAGCUGGGUUAAGCACCUCAGUGGAGAAAGCUAAAACUGGCUGUCAUGAUGAGGCGAGAGACCGGUCGCUGUUCGAGAGGUUUUUUCGAGUCCCUAAAGGCUUAUGCCGCUUCGAGCGAGAAGCUGGAUAACCCCGGCCAAGGCGUGGAUAGCGCCCCGAACUCGGUCUUCUAAACUAGGGGCUUCGCCGAAAUUUAAAAUUAUAAAGUUCUAUGGCUAAGUGAGAGUGUUCAAGCAUUAUAGUCCGAUUGCCUGGUUCGUUGUGCUGAGCGCCUCCCUCGAAGGACCCAACUAUGGGAAAAAGAGCGCUCAGGUUUAUCCCGAACACCCCAGCACUAGUGGCAUGGGGGCAGAAGUUGACGACUGGCCAUCUCUCAAUUUUUGAUAAACGGCCGCACAGAAAAUAAUAUUUUAAAUUCAACAAGCAUUGCUUAGCGCCUAUGAACAAGUUUUCAGCGCACAGGAUAAACACGAGCGAGUUCAUUCAAAAAUUACAUCCUUGGUACAUUCAUCCACCACAAGGCGGGCACCCGCAAGAACAUCCUUAUAGUAGUUCUCGAGCUUGCGAUGCUCCUUCCCCGGCGGCGGCCCGUCCCUCACAAGCUUCUCACUGUCCAGCUUACCCCAGUGCACCUUUGCACGGGCAAGGGCCCGAUGGGCACCUUCGAUGCAGACGGAGCGCUUGAUGACCUCGAGCCUUGGACAGGCCUCCACCAACCACCGCACCAGCCCGAAGUAGCUCCCAGGCAGGGCCUCGCCGGGCCACAGCCGAACUAUGAAGCCCUUCAUGGCCUGUUCGGCCGCCUUGUGGAGCUCGACCAGCUGUUUCAGCUGGUCGCUCAAGGGCACAGGGUAUCCGGCCUCAGCAUACUGAGACCAGAACACCUUCUCCGUCGAGCUGCCCUCUUCAGCUCGGUAGAAUGUGGCGGCGUCGGAUACGCUGCGGGGAAGAUCUGCGAAUGCCCCUGGAGAGCUCCGGAUUCGGGUAAGUAACAAGUAGUUUACUUUUAUAUUUUUGCUUUGCAUAAAGAAUGCCUUACCCGCCGCUAUCUUAUUCAUAUCCUCCAACUCUUGGAGGGCCUUUUGGGCUUCGGCCUUGGCAAACUUGGCAGUCUCAAGGGCCGCCGCGAGCUAGGACGCUUGGGUCUUUGACUCAAGCUCCAAACUCUCAUGUUUCUUCAUGAGAGCCUGAAGCUCUUGCUGCACCUCGCCGACCUGAGCCCCAAGUUUCUCUCGCUCGGUGCGUUCCGCGGCCGUUUUCUUUUCGGCCUCAGAAAGCGCCUGCUUGAAGGUCGCCACCUCAGUCGUGGCCCCUAUAAUAAGCAAGUACAAUCCUGUUAGUUUUUGCAAUCACGCCUCUCUAUAGGCACCUUUUUCUGUAAGGUAUUUCUUACCUUCUUUCUCCUUGAGCUGCCGCUUGGCAAGGCCGAGCUCUUGCUCAGUCCGCCCGAGGUCCUGUUUCAGGACACCCACCUCCGCAGUCAGUGCGGCGGUGGAUAGCAGCGAAGCCUGCAUACGCAUAUUGACUCUUUGUUGUUAGACUCCUUUGAAAUUUAAUAGAUCCUCUAUUCGGCUUUUCUUUCCGAACGCCAAACAGAGCAUCAGGGGCUACUGUCUAUGCGGUAAUAUUUUUACAUAUUUUUACUUACCUCGAAGCCUGUUAGGAGGCUAGCGCAAGCUUCACUCAGUCCGCUCUUGGCGGACUGAACCUUCUGGAUCACCGUACUCAUAAUAGUACGGUGCUCCUCGCCGAUGGAGGCGCCUUCAAGCACCUCCAGCAGAUUGUCCGGCGCCUCCGGUUGGACGGAGGCUGCCGGCUCAGAAGGCUUUCUCCUCUUGGAAGGAGUUCGCCUGCCGCGGUCCGGAAUUGUUGAAGAUUCCGGCACGGUGUCCGGCUCAAAGCCGGACUUGGAGCCCUGGGGGGUCUUGUCCCCUUUACUCCUGGAGUCCGGGAGGUUGCCUUGUGGCUCCUCCAGGACCACCUCCUCCUGCCCCGGAGCUUGUCACGACGCCACUUCGGCAUCGUCCGCAGUGUGGGGGGAGACAACGGGCGGAACUGAGUUCACGUCCGACGAAUCCAGGGAGCCGCUCGACGACUCGUUGAGUUCGGCCCGGGGCGGGCUGCAUGAUUAUAUUCGACAUUAGGGAAAGUUGUGCAACAAAAGGAAUAUCAUGAGUUACUCUGGUAUCUGAACACUUACGAUUUUGCCGGACGCCUGGCCCUGUCCGGCCACUCCUCUUCGUCCUCGUCGGCAUCGGGGGCGUAGUCCAGCGGAGGGGUUUUCCUCUUCUUGGACCCUUCGCCCCCCCCCCCUACUGGGGCGGCCUUCCUCUUCUUUCCUCCCCCCGCUGGAGGGGGAGAGGUUUCUUCUUCCUCCUCCUCGUCUCCACGGGAAGAGUACGUCUCGGACUCGUCGGAUGACGAGUCCGACAACACCACAUUGCGGGCACUCCUUCGAGUCCCCGUGGUCUUCUUCUUCUUGGCCUUCUUUUCCGGCACCACAUAAGGCGCCGGAGCCAGCAGCUUCACUAGUAGAGCUGGGGCUGGGUCUUCGGGCAGCGGAGCCGGACAGUUAAUUGGUCCGUAUACCGCCCGCCAAGCCUGUCAAAGGUAAGGGAGUUUAGAUCCCGCAUAGAGUUAAACUAUGAAAAAAGCUGAACAUCCUAUAAAAGGUGAAAAUAGCUUACCUCGCUAGCGUGACGCUGCGAGCUAUAUCUGCGGUCCUCGGAAGCGGAUGCGGGAGCCUCGGCACCUUUGAUUAGCGCCUUCCAGACGUCUUCAUACAUCGUGUCGAAGAGCCUAUUAAGGGUUCGGUGCUGUGCCGGGUCGAACUCCCACAGAGUAAAGUCCCGUUGUUGACACGGGAGGAUUCGGCGAACGAGCAUGACCUGGACUACAUUUACAAGCCUGAUUGACUUGUUUACCAGGGACUGGAUGCAUGUCUUCAGUCCGGUCACCUCUUCCUUGUUACCCCAUGAUAGGCCCGUCUCUUUCCAGGACAUGAGCCGCGUGGGGGGUCCGGAUCGGAACUCGGGGGUUGCGAUCCAUUUCGGAUCGCGUGGCUCGGUGAUGUAAAACCACCCGGCUUGCCACCCCUUUAGGGUCUCUACGAAGGAGCCCUCGAACCACUGGACGUUGGCAAUCUUGCCCGCCAUGGCGCCUCCGCACUCCGCCUGGUUGCCGCACACCACCUUGGGCUUGACGUUGAAGGUCUUGAGCCAGAGGCAGAAAUGGGGGCGGACGCGGAGGAAAGCCUCGCACACGACGAUAAACGCCGAGAUGUUGAGGAUGAAGUUCGGGGCCAGAUCAUGGAAAUCCAGGCCGUAGUAGAACAUGAGCCCCGGACGAAUGGGUGAAGUGGAAAACCCAGUCCGCGGAGGAAGUGGGGAAGGAAUACUACCCUCUCAUGGGGCCUUGGGGUGGGGAGGAGCUGCCCCUUCUCGGGAAGCCGGUGCGCGAUGUCUUUGGACAAGUAUCCGGCCUUCCUAAGUUUUUUGACGUCGCCCUCCGUGACGGAGGAGACCUUCCACUUGCCUCCCGCUCCAGACAUCAUUGGAGAAGGUUGAGGUAGGAAGUGCGGGCUUGGGCGCUGGAGCUCGAGUGCGCAGGAGGUGGAUAGGCAAAGGAGGAAGAAGGCGUAGGUAAAAAGGUGGAUCCUUAUCCCCUUAUAUGGACGGAUGCGGUUGUGCGUCCCCACCUGCCUAAUAAAACUCGCUUGCCUCCCAAGCGUCGUGGUAAAUGGCACGGUUAGGGUUACCCACGUCCGUAUUGAUGAGAAUCCCGUAAAAAGGGCACACGAUCUCUGCUUUGACAAGACGUGCCAAGGAAGCCGCCUCGCAAAACAUGCUGAGGUGGAAAAGUAAAAAUGAUUCGAGUAAAGGACUUGGCUGUAGUGUGAUGGCGCACUGCAGAAUACGUCAGCAGAUUUGAUUUGUGUUAAUGUUAUUCUCUCUAUGGCAAUAUGUGGAAACUUAUUUUUGCAGAACCGGACACUACUCUUGGUGUUCACAAUCUUCUAUGAAGGACUUGGAGGAGGAACCCGCCUUGCAGUGCCGAAGACAAUUUGCGCGCCGGACUCGUCGUCAUUGAAGCCUGGUUCAGGGGCUACUGAGGGAGUCCUGGAUUAGGGGGUGUUCGGGUAGCCGGACUAUACCUUCGGUCGGACUCCUGGACUAUGAAGAUACAAGAUUGAAGACUUCGUCUCGUGUCCGGAUGGGACUUUCCUUGGCGUGGAAGGCAAGCUUGGCGAUGCGGAUAUUCAAGAUCUCCUACCAUUGUAACCGGCUUUGUGUAACCCUAACCCUAUCCGGUGUCUAUAUAAACCGGAGGGUUGUCGUCCGUAGGCAAUCAACUCCAUACACAACAAUCAUACCAUAGGCUAGCUUCUAGGGUUUAGCCUCCUUGAUCUCGUGGUAGAUCUACUCUUGUACUACCCAUAUCAUCAAUAUUAAUCAAGCAGGAGUAGGGUAUUACCUCCAUCGAGAGGGCCCGAACCUGGGUAAAACAAAGUGUUCCCUGCCUCCUGUUACCAUCCGGCCUAGACGCACAGUUCGGGACCCCCUACCCGAGAUCUGCCGGUUUUGACACCGACACCCUCCGUGAUUGAUUCCCCCUCCGGUGGAGCUCUGGAAAAGGCCCCAAGAUGGGAUCUCACGGGUACAGAAGGUUGCAGCGGUGGAAAUAGGGUUUCGUGGUGCUCCUGGAUGUUUUCGGGGUAUAUAUAUAUACAUAGGAGGAAGAAGUGGGUCGGUUGAGCUGCGAGGGGCCCAUGAGGGUGGGGGCGUGCCCAGGGGGCAGGGGUGCCCUCCUGCCUCGUGGCCACCUCAUUUCUUUCUUGACGUCUACUCCAAGUCCCCUGGAUCACGUUUGUUCCAAAAAUAACUCUCCCGAAGGUUUCAUUCCGUUUGAUAUUCAUUUUCUGCGAAACAAUGAAAUAGGCAAAAAACAGCAAUUUGCACUGGGCCUUGGGUUAGUAGGUUAGUCCCAAAAAUAAUAUAAAAGUGUAUAAAUAAGCCCAUUAACAUCCAAAACAGAUAAUACAAUAGCAUGCAACAAUCAAAAAAUAUAGAUACGUUGGAGACGUAUCAAGACACCACGUGAUGAUUGAUACGUCUCCAACGUAUCUAUAAUUUAUGAAGUAUUCAUGCCAUGUUUACAAUAGUUUUAUAUGAUUUUGGUAUGAUUUGAUUAGAACCAACCCGUACUGACAUUGUUUUCAGCAGAACUACCGUGGUGUUGUUUUUGUGCAGAAAUAAAAGUUCUCGGAAUGCGAUGAAAAUCAACGGAGAAUUUUUCAGGAAAAUAUAAAAAUACUGGAACAAAAAUCUAUCGGAGAGGAGACCCAUGGGCCCCACGAGGGUGGGAGCGCGCCCAACCCCCCCCCCCUCUGGGCGCGCCCCUGUGCCUCGUGGACUUCCCGUGGGGCCCCAUGACUUGUUCUAGAUGCCAACCUUUCCUAUAAAUGCCCAAACCACGAGAAAAUAACCUAGAUCGGAAGUUCCGCCGCUGCAAGCCUCUAUAGCCACAAGAAAUCAAUCUAGGCCCUCUCUGGCACCCUGCCGGAGGGGGCCAUCAUCACCGGAGGGCAUGGAGGAGGAUCCAAGAGGGGCCAUCAUCACCAUGAAGGCCAAGGACCAGAGGGGGAACCUCUCCCCAUCUAGGGGGGGAGGCCAUGGAGGAGGAAGCACAAGGGGGAGAACCUCUCCUCCUCUCUCUCUCUCUCUCUCUCUCUCUCUCUCUCUCUCUCUCUCUCUCGGUGGCGCCGGAGUGCCAUCGGGAGGGGAAGCAUCGCCGCGGUGAUUGUCUUCAUCAACAUCACCAUCAUCAUCACCAUCCUCAUCUCUUUUACGCGGUCCACUCUCCCGCACCCCGCUGUAAUCCCUACUUGAACAUGGUGCUUUAUGCCACAUAUUAUGAUCCAAUGAUGUAUUGCCAUCCUAUGAUGUUUUGAGUAGAUAUCCUUUGUCUUUGGGUUGAUUGAUGAUCUAGAUUGGUACAAGUUGUAUAUUUUAUUUCGGUGUUGUCCUAUUGUGCCCUCCAUGUUGCGCAAGCGUGAGGGAUUCCCGCUGUAGGGUGUUGCAAUACGUUCAUGAUUCACUUAUAGUAGGUUGCUUGAGUGACAGAAGCAUAAACCCGAGUAAGGGGGUUGUUGCAUAUGGGAUAAAGGGGACUUGAUGCUUUAAUGCUAUGGUUGGGUUUUACCUUAAUGAUCUUUAGUAGUUGUGGAUGCUUGCUAGAGUUCCAAUCAUAAGUGCAUAUCAUCCAAGAAGAGAAAUUAUGUUAGCUUAUGCCUCUCCCUCAUAUGAAAUUGCAAUGACGACUAUCGGUCUUGUUAACAAUUGCCUAAGACAAUUCCGCACACCGAUCCACCAUUAUUCCACACUCGCUAUUUAUAAUAUUUAGUAAUAUAUUCUAACUUAUGAUAACAACACCUACUUUUAUAUUUUAUCUCUCCGAUACCAUGCAAAGUUAUCCUCUUCAUACCCACAACAUAGUUUUAUUUCUCGUUUCUAGUUGGAAGCAAAUGUUCGGUGUACGUAGAGUCGUAUCAGUGGCAGAUAGGACUUGAGAUAAUAUUGAUCUUACCUUUAGCUCCUUGUGGGUUCGACACUCCAUACUUAUCAAUUCCACCAUUGGGAAUUGCUACGAUGAUUCCCUGCACUUGAGGAUUAUCAAGCUCUUUUCUGGCGCCGUUGCCGGGGAGCAAUAGCAUGGGGUUGAUAUUCUCGUGUGUGCUUGUUUGCUUUCUUCACUAAGUAGAUUUUGUUUUUCCUUUUUUGUUUCUGUUUAGUUGUGGGUGAAACAUACAUUUUUUAAGAAUGAAAAUACAAAAAAAUUACUUGCCUAUCAUGCCUAAAAAGUUUUUCAAUGAGAGAAGUGAUUGGAAGAUUAUGCAUUGAAGAAAUGAGGGUCGACCUUGAGCACUUGUGUUCAUGCUCAUGGAAACAAUGUAAAAAAAUUCAUGGAAGAUUCUCUGAAAAUAAUUAUCCCCUUGUAUAUAUCCAUCGUAAUAUAAAAAUAAUGUGCCAAGCCUUGGUUUUAGGAUGAUUAGAUUGCUUGUUUACUUUGUGCAGUACAAAAACAGAAACUUUGGCUGUAGCGCGUGAUUUUACAUUUUUUACUGGAAAGUCAAAUAGGUAUGAAACUUUUUGCACAUUACUUCUGUACAAAUUUUUUAAAUUGUCAUAUUUUUCUGAAAUUUUGGAGUUACAGAAGUAUACUAAACUUCCAGAUUACUACAGACUGUCCUGUUUUUGACAGAUUCUGUUUUCUAUGUGUUGAUCGCUUAUUUUGAUGAAUCUAUGGGUAGUAUCGGGGGGUAUGAACCAUGGUGAAGUUGGAAUAUAGUAUAUAUAAUUCUAAUAUGAAAUUGGAAUGAGUUUUCAACAGUACCUAAAGGUAGUGAUUUGCUUUGUUAUACUAACGGAUCUCACAAAGUUUUUGUUAAAGUUUUGUGUGGUUGAAGUGUUCAAGGAACGAGGAGUUGCCGAAGUGAGAAGAAUAAAGAGAGGCAAGAGCUCAAGCUUGGGGAUUCCCAAGGCAUCCCAAGUAAAUAUUCUAAGGAUACUCAAGCAUCUAAGCUUGGGGAUGCCCCGGUUGGCAUCCCAUCUUUCUUCUUCAACAAUUAUCGGUAUACCUCGGUUUUUGUUUUGUUCACAUGAUUUGUGUCCUUUGUGUUUUUUGUUUUUCCUUUAAGAACCAUGCUAGUAUGAGAUAGACCUUCAUUUAUUUAUAGAAUGAUUCAUGUGCUUCACAUAUAUCUUUUAAGUAUGAUCUUAUAGAAUUGCUCUUUGUGCUUCACUUAAAUCUUUUGAGUAUGAUUUUAUAGAAUGCUUCGUGUGCUUCACUUAUAUAUUUUGAGCUUGGAUAUUGGUUAGUCUAUAUUAAUUGUAGAAUUCUCCAUGAACUUCACUUAUAUCUUUUGGAUUAUGGAUAAUACUAUAAUCUAAAGUGGAUUUGGAAGAGUGUCAACUUUAGUUAGUAAUGAUUCCACUAUUUCAGAAGAGGUUCCAAUUGAUUAUGAGAACAAAUCUGCUAUCUAUGAUGAAUAUUGUGAUGACAUGUAUGCUAUAAAUAAUUAUGUUAACCAUGAAAAUUUCCAUCAUGAUUUUAAUUUUCAAUUGGAUUAUGCCUCACAUGACCGUUAUUCUGUUGAGUUUGCUCCCAUUAUUCCGAAUGAGAAGAAUUUUGCUUAUGUGGAGAGUAGAAAAUUUUCUAUGCUUGUAGAUGAUGAAAAGAAUGCUUUAUGUGAUGGUUAUAUUGUUGAAUUCAUUCAUGAUGCUACAAAAAAUUAUUAUGAGGGAGGAAUAUAUGCUUGUAGGAGUUGCAAUAAUAUCAAGUUUCCUCUCUAUGUGCUUGAAGUUUUGAAGUUAUCCUUGUUUUGCCUUCCUAUGCUAGUUGAUCCUUGUUCCUAUAAAUUGUGUGCUCACAAAAUCCCCAGGCAUAGGAAGUGGGUUAGGUUCAAAUGUGCUAGUCAUAUUCUUCAUGAUGCUCUCUUUAUGUUUCAGUUCUUAUCUUUUAUGUGAGCAUCAUUGAAAUCAUCAUGCCUACUGAUACGUCUCCGUCGUAUCUAUAAUUUUUGAUUGUUCCAUGCCAAUAUUAUACAACUUUAAUAUACUUUUGGCAACUUUUUAUACUAUUUUUGGGACUAACAUAUUGAUCCAAUGCCCAGUGCCAGUUCCUGUUUAUUACAUGUUUUUUUCGCAGAAAAUCCAUAUCAAACGGAGUCCAAACGGGAUAAAAAUUGACGGAGAUUUUUUUUGGAAUAUAUGUGAAUUUUGGAAAGUGAAAUCAACACGAGACGAUACACGAGGGUCCCACGAGGUAGGGGGCGCGCCCCUGACCCUCAUGGACACCCCGUAAGGUGGUUGUUGCCCUUAUUUCGCCGCAAGAAAGCUAAUAUCUGGAUAAAAUCGUGUUCAAAUUUCAAUCCAAUCGGAGUUAUGGAUCUCCGGGAAUUUAAGAAACGGUGAAAGGGCAGAAUCAGGAAUGCGGAAACAGAGAGAGAGAGAGAGAGAGAGAGAGAGAGAGAGAGAGAGAGAGACAGAGAGACAGAGAGACAGAGAGACAGAUCCAAUCUCGGAGGGGCUCUCGCCCCUCCGCCGCCAUGGAGGCCAUGGACCAGAGGGGAAACCCUUCUCACAUCUAGGGACAAGGUCAAUGAAGAAGAAGGGGGGCUCUCUCCCCUUCUCUCCCGGUGGCACCGGAACGUCGCCGGGGCCGUCAUCGUGUGACGGCGAUCUAGACCAACACCUCCAUCAUCUUCACCAACAUAUUCAUCACCUUCCCCCAUCUAUCUACAGCGGUCCACUCUCCAGCAACCCGUGUACCCUCUACUUGAACAUGGUGCUUUAUGCUUCAUAUUAUUAUCCAAUGAUGUGUUGCCAUCCUAUGAUGUCUGAGUGGAUUUUCGUUGUCCUAUCGGUAAUUGGUGAAUUGCUAUGGUUGGUUUAGUUUGCUUGUGGUUAUGUUGAUGUCCUUUGGUGCCCAUCAUAUGAGCGUGCGCGUGGAUCACACCAUAGGGUUAGUUGUAUGUUGAUAGGACUGUGUAUUGGAGGGCAAGAGUGACAUAAACUUCAACCUAGCAUAGAAAUUGAUGCAUACGGGAUUGAAGGGGGACCAAUAUAUCUUAAUGCUAUGGUUGGAUUUUACCUUAAUGAACAUUAGUAGUUGUGGAUGCUUGCUAAUAGUUCCAGUCAUAAGUGCAUAGAAUUCCAAGUCAGGGAUGACAUGCUAGCAGUGGCCUCUCCCACAUAAAACUUGCUAUCGGUCUAGUAAAGUAGUCAAUUGCUUAGGGAAAAUUUCGCAACUCCUACCACCACUUUUCCACACUCGCUAUACUAACUUUAUUGCUUCUUUACCUAAAACAGCCCCUAGUUUUUAUUUACGCGCUCUUUAUUAUCUUGCAAACCUAUACAAAAACACCUGCAAAGUACUUCUAGUUUCAUACUUGUUCUAGGUAAAGCGAACGUUAAGCGCACGUAGAGUUGUAUCGGUGGUCGAUAGAACUUGAGGGAAUAUUUGUUCUACCUUUAGCUCCUCGUUGGGUUCGACACUCUUACUUAUUGAAAGAGGCUACAAUUGAUCCCCUAUACUUGUAGGUUAUCAAGACCUUUUUCUAGCGUCGUUGCCGGGGAGCAAUAGCGUGGGGUGAAUAUUCUCGUGUGUGCUUGUUUGCUUUAUCACUAAGUAAUUUUUAUUUGCUGUUCUAAGUUGUUUUGUAUCUUUAGUUAUGGAUAUGGAACACGAAAUACCAAAAAAAUUAGGUUUACUUGCUACUCAUGCAUGGAGAUGGGGAACCUCCUAAAACCCUCGAUGCUCAUUAUGUGAAAGAUAUUAUGCACUGCUUUAAUAAUCCUGAGAAAACCCCAUUCAAUUAUGUAAUGGGAGACACGUUGGAUCAACGUGAAUACUUUAGGGAUUAUCGCUUGACUCAAAAAGGGAAAUUAUUAUGGGAUCAAAUUUAUAUGUUGCAUUGGUAUGCUCGGCAACUAUGCUUGAGAUAUGAUUAUACUUGUUGCUCUAGGAUGAAGGCUCCACACCUUCCCUUUUCAUGCAAUUUUAAUGAUAAUGAAACCUUAGCUUCUUAUGAUAAUGGUAUAUAUGGUUACUAUGAUGUGGAACGAAUAGAAUAAUUUGUUGCUUUUAAGGGUGCUUGUGAAAUUGAAUCUUUGUUUAAAGAGUUUGAAGAUUUUGAUGAUUCAGUUUAUAGACCUGAAAAUUUAGCUAUCCUUAAAUAUUGCUAUGAGAAUUAUAAAUACAAUUAUGAUAUUGAUGAAUUUAUUGAGAAAGUCUCCGCUGUCCGUGAAGAGACUAGUAUUUUGCAGGAGUCUAUGGAAGAAGGAAAUGAUGAAACUGUGGGCUCAUUGGAUGAAAAAGAUGAUGAGGAGAGCGAAGAACAAAAGGAGGAAGAGCAGAUUAGCUACCCGUGCCCACCUUCUAAUGAGAGUAACUCUUCAACUCAUACAUUGUUUAAUUUCCCUUCGUGCUUACCGAAGGAUGGUUGCUAUGAUGAUUGUUAUGAUCCCGUUGAUUCUUUUGAUGAUGCUUGCUAUGCUUGUGGCCAAGAUGCCAAUAUGAAUUAUGCUUAUGGAGAUGAACUUGCUAUAGUUCCUUAUGAAAUUGUUGCUACUGCACCCACGCAUGAUAGUCCUAUUAUCUUUUUGAAUUCUCCCGACUACACUAUAUCGGAGAAGUUUGCCCUUAUUAAGGAUUAUAUUGAUGGGUUGUGUUUUACUACUACACAUGAUGAUUUUGAUGAAUAUAAUAUGCAUGUGCUUGCUGCUCCUACUUGCAAUUAUUAUGAGAAAGGAACUACAUCUCCGCCUCUCUAUGUUUCCAACACGAUAAAAUUGCAAGAAAUUGUUUAUACUAUGCAUUGGCCUUUACUAUGUGUGCAUUAAAUUGUUCUUUUAUGACAUGCCGAUGCAUAGGAAGAGAGUUAGACUUCGUAAUUGCUUGAUAUAUGUUGCUUUGUGCUCACUACUAAAUGCCAACUCAUUGCUAAUUCAAAUUGGCUUCGAUAUACCUUGGGAUCCGGGUGGAUCCAUUACUUGAGCACUAUAUGCCUAGCUUAAUGGCUUUAAAGAAAGCGCUGCCAGGGAGACAACCUGAAAGUUUUAGAGAGUCAUUUAUUUACGUUGUGUGAUUUUAUAAAGUACAAAUCCAUUGUAUUAUAAAAAUAAUGUGCCAAGAUUUGCCUUUAGGAUGUUUACAUUGCUUGUUGGUUUGUGCGGUGCAAGAUAGAAACUUUGGCUGUAGUGCGCGAUUUUACAUUUUUUACUAGAACGUCAAACGGUUCUGAAACUUUUUGCACUGUCUUUAUAUACAAAUUGUUUAUUUUUCCUAAAAAAUCAGAAUUUUCGGAGUACCAGAAAUAUGGUGAAUGUUCAGAUUACUACAGACUGUCCUGUUUAAGAAAGAUUCUAUUUUUGAUGCAUAGUUUGCUUGUUUUCAUGAAACUAUCGAUUUCUAUCAGUGGAUUAAGCCAUGGAAAAGUUAUAUUACAGUAGCUAUAAUGCAAAAACAAAAUAUGAAUUGGUUUGCAACAGUACUUAGAGUAGUGAUUUGCUUUAUUAUACUAACGGAUCUUACCGAGCUUUCUAUUGAGUUUUGUGUGGAUGAAGUGAUCAAAGAUCGAGGAGGCCUCGAUAUGAGGAGAAGGAGGAGAGGCAAGAGCUCAAGCUUGGGGAUGACCAAGGCACCCCAAGUAAAUAUUCAAGGAGAAUCAAGUGUCUAAGCAUGGGGAUGCCCCGGAAGACAUCCCAUCUUUCUUCUAACAAUCAUCGGUAAUUUCACUUGGAGCUAUAUUUUUAUUUGUCACAUGAUAUGCGUAAAUCUUGGAGCGUCUUUUGCAUUUAGUUUUCACUUUUCUUUUAUGCACCAUGCUGGUAUGAGAUAGUCCAUGGUUGAUUUAUAGAAUUCUCUUUGCACUUCACUUAUAUCUUUUGAGUAUGGCUUUAUAGAAUGCUUCAUGUGCUUCACUUAUAUCUUUUGAAGUUUGGAUUACAUGUUUCUCUUCACAUAGAAAACCGCCAUUUGUAGAAUGCUCUUUUGCUUCACUUAUAUUUGUUAGAGCGUGGUCAUAUCUUUUGUAGAAAGGAUUAAACUCUCUUGCUUCACUUAUAUCUAUUUAGAGAGAUGACAGGAACUGGUCAUUCACAUGGUUAGUCAUAAAAUCCUACAUAAAACUUGUAGAUCACUGAAUAUGAUAUGUUUGAUUCCUUGCAAUAGUUUUGCGAUAUAAAGAUGGUGGUAUUAUAGUCAUGCUAGUGGGUAGUUGUGGAUUGUAGAAAUACUUGUGUUGAAGUUUGUGAUUCUCGUAGCAUGCACGUAUGGUGAACCAUUAUGUGAUGAAGUCGGAGCAUGAUUUAUUUAUUUAUUGUCUUCCUUAUGAGUGGCGGUCGGGGAUGAGCGAUGGUCUUUUCCUACCAAUCUAUCCCCCUAGGAGCAUGCGUGUAGUACUUUGUUUCGAUAGCUAAUAGACUUUUGCAAUAAGUAUGUGAGUUCUUUAUGACUAAUGUUGAGUCCAUGGAUUAUACGCACUCUCACCCUUCCAUCAUUGCUAGCCUCUUUGGUACCGUGCAUUGCCCUUUCUCACCUCGAGAGUUGGUGCAAACUUCGCCGGUGCAUCCAAACCUCAUGAUAUGAUAGCUCUGUCACACAUAAGCCUCCUUAUAUCUUCCUCAAAACAGCCACCAUACCUACCUAUCAUGGCAUUUCCAUAGUCAUUCCGAGAUAUAUUGCCAUGCAAUUUCCAUCAUCAUCAUAUACAUGACUUGAGCAUUCAUUGUCAUAUUGCUUUGCAUGAUCAUAAGAUAGCUAGCAUGAUAUUUUCAUGGCUUGUCCAUUUUUUAAUAUCUUUGCUACGCUAGAUCAUUGCGCAUCCCGGUACACCGCCGGAGGCAUUCAUAUAGAGUCAUAUCUUUGUUCUAGUAUUUAGUUGUAAGUAAAUAAAAGUGUGAUGAUCAUCAUUAUUAGAACAUUGUCCCGGGCGAGGUUAUCAAAAUAAAAGAGGCCAAAGAAGCCUACCAAAAAUAUAAAAAAAUAUAAAAAUGAGAGAAAAGAGAGAAGGGACAAUGUUACUAUCCUUUUACCACACUUGUGCUUCAGAGUAGCACCAUGUUCUUCAUAUAGAGAGUCUCUUGAGUUAUCACUUUCAUAGACUAGUGGUAAUUUUUCAUUAUAGAACUUGGCUUGUAUAUUCCGAUGAUGGGCUUCCUCAAAUGCCCUGGGUCUUCAUGAGCAAGCAAGUUGGAUGAACACCCACUUAGUUUUCAGUUUGAGCUUUCAUACACUUAUAGCUCUUAGUGCAUUUGUUGCAUGGCAAUCCCUACUCCUCGCAAUGACAUCAAUUGAUGGGCAUCUCCAUAGCCCAUUGAUUAGCCUCGUUGAUGUGAGACUUUCUUCCUUUUUGUCUUCUCCACACAACCUCCAUCAUCAUAUUCUAUUCCACCUAUAGUGCUAUAUCCAUGGCUCACACUCAUGUAUUGCGUGAAAGUUGAAAGGUUUGAGAUCAUCAAAAGUAUGAAACAAUUGCUUGGCUUGUCAUCGGGGUUGUGCAUGAUUUGAAUAUUUUGCGUGGUGAAGAUGGAGCAUAGCCAGACCAUAUGAUUUUUUAGGGAUAACUUUCUUUGGCCAUGUUAUUUUGAAACAACAUGAUUGCUUUAUUAGUAUGCUUGAAGUAUUAUUGUCUUAAUGUCAAAUGAUAGACUAUUGCUUCGAAUCACUUGUGUCUUAAUAUUCAUGCCAUGAUUAGAUUACAUGAUCAAGAUUAUGCUAGGUAGCAUCCCACAUCAAAAAUUAUUUUUUUAUCAUUUACCUACUCGAGGUCGAGUAGGAAUUAAGCUUGGGGAUGUUGAUAUGUCUCCGUCGUAUCUAUAAUUUUUGAUUGUUCCAUGCCAAUAUUAUACAACUUUCAUAUACUUUUGGCAACUUUUUAUACUAUUUUUGGGACUAACAUAUUGAUCCAGUGCCCGGUGCCAGUUCCUGUUUGUUGCAUGUUUUUUGUUUCGCAGAAAAUCGAUAUCAAACGGAGUCCAAACGGGAUAAAAACUGACAGAGAUUUUUUUGGAAUAUAUGUGAAUUUUGGGAAGUGAAAUCAACGCAAGAUGAUGCUCGAGGGUCCCAUGAGGCAGGGGCGCGCCCCUGACCCUCGUGGACACCCUGUAAGGUGGUUGUUGCCCUUCUUUCGCCGCGAGAAAGCUAAUAUCCGGAUAAAAAUCGUGUUCAAAUUUCAAUCCAAUCAAAGUUACGGAUCUCCACGAAUUUAAGAAACGGUGAAAGGGCAGAAUCAGGAACGCAGAAACAGAGAGAGACAGAGAGACAGAUCCAAUCUCAGAGGGGCUCUCACCCCGCCGCCGCCAUGGAGGCCAUGGACCAGAGGGGGGAAACCCUUCUCCCAUCUAGGGAUAAGGUCAAGGAAGAAGAAGAAGAAGAAGGGGGGCUCUCUCCCCCUCUCCCCGAUGGCGCCGGAAUGCCGCCGGGGCCAUCAUCGUGUGACGGCGAUCUAGACCAACACCUCUGUCAUCUUCACCAACAUAUUCAUCACCUUCCCCCAUGUAUCUACAGCGGUCCACUCUCCCACAACCCGCUGUACCCUCUACUUGAACAUGGUGCUUUUUGCUUCAUAUUAGUAUCCAAUGUUGUGUUGCCAUCCUAUGAUGUCUGAGUAGAUUUUCGGUUGUCCUAUCAGUAAUUGGUGAAUUACUAUGAUUGGUUUAAUUUGCUUGUGGUUAUGUUGUUGUCCUUUGGUGCCCAUCAUAUGAGCACGCGCGUGGAUCACACCAUAGGGUUAGUUGUAUGUUGAUAGGACUAUGUAUUGGAGGGCAAGAGUGACAGAAGCUUCAACCUAGCAUAGAAAUUGAUGCAUACGGGAUUGAAGGGGGGCCAAUAUAUCUUAAUGCUAUGGUUGGGUUUUACCUUAAUGAACGUUAGUAGUUGCGGAUGCUUGCUAAUAGUUCCAAUCAUAAGUGCAUAGAAUUCCAAGUUAGGGAUGACAUGCUAGCAGUGGCCUCUCCCACAUAAAACUUGCUAUCGGUCAUGUCGUGGAGUUGACACGGCAGAUGUCCUAGAGCAAGGACUUAGUUGUAGGGCCAUCGCACUAGGAAACUUAAAGGGGUUGAUCGGGACAAAGGACACACGAGAGAGUUUUUAUACUAGUUCGGCCCCUUACAAUGAAGGUAAAAGCCUACGUCUAGUUGGGAUUGGUAUUGCUGAGGUUUCAAUCUCCAAGAGGCUCAACUCGCCGACUUGGUUAUCAACUUGGUUGUUUCUUUUCUAAACCGCCACCGGGUCGUCCCCUUAUAUACACGGGUUGACGCCUGGUGGCCUACAGAGUCCUGGACGGCUCAUAAUCAUGUCCGGCUCGGUGACUUCCCUUACAAGCCUUUCUUUACAAGCCUUUCCUUAUAUACAGCAGUUUACAAUGUCAGGCCUUAAGCCGGCCCCAGGCCUUUGGGCCUUCUAUACAUUUAGUAAACUAUCAUCUUGAAUGUUUAUCGGGCUUCUUGUGUAACCUGCCAUUAGGGCUGACUCGGCCCCUCCUGGGUGGGUCAUACUGGUAGUAAUAUCCCCAACAUUAGGCCCCGGGUUGACUUUGAACUUUGUUCUCUGUCAAUCUUCAAUACUUAGGUGGAAUCCAUCCUCUGUCUAAAAACUUUUGUAACCCGCCGUGACGUCAUCUUCUAAAAACACAAAAAACCUUCAUGACGUCAUCUUCCAACGGAUCUUUCAUUUUUUAAUGCCUUCCAAGAAUCAAGGUGUCAGUUUAUUUGGAUAAUCAUUAUUCAGGUCUCCUUGAUUUUCGCGCCCGCCUGUUCGCGCACUCCCUUAUAAAUAGGUACAACUUAGGUCUUUUUCAUUCUCCCCCUUCUGUCGUCUUCUUCCUCUUACUGCUUCGCUGCCGCUAGAUCUCUGCCGCCGCCGCCGUCACAGAUCUCCUCGUCUUCUCCACCUCAGGUUGCUGCAUCGACCUGACUUGUCUAGAGAAACGCAACGAACCUUUGCAGUGAAUCCGCACCCGUAAGUCUCGCCUUCUCAAACUUUUUAGAUCUGCAUUAGGGCUUUGCGAGUUCGUCGGUGUUCUUCGUUGUUCUUCAUGAACUUUCCUGGUAGUUCUUCCUCCGCAGCCUCUAGGGAUCCAAAAAGGAAAUAUAACUUGCGCAGUAGUUGUUUGGCGUCCAUUUUUGAUAGCCGUAGAUCCCUUUUUUCUGUAUAGAUGCUUCGUUAUAGCUGAUGAACCCAUCUGUACUAGAUAUUUAGGUCUAGAAUAUUUUUCUUUUCAGAACAGCCAUUUGAUCCAAAAUAAUAAUGACAGCUUGGUAAAACUUGUUUAUGCCAACACUUAGCUAAAUCUGCUUUCUGAGAAAAUCUGUAGUCAUGGUGGCUUGCCGCUCCGGCUUUCUUUUCACCAUAUGUCAUUAGCCCUUAGUAAAACCGCCAUUACUUGUUUUAUAUCUGACUAUAAACUGAACCGGCAAGUUGUUAUUUCUUUUUCAGUUCUUUGCACAUCAUGCCACCAAAGACACCCACCGUCUGUAACUGGGUCCCCUCAUCCGUAACUGAGGAACGGUUAAAAGAGUUCUUCCUCAUUGGGUUUCUGCCUUCAAAAAAUGUCAUGUCUUAUCAUGCUCCUGACCUGGAGGAAGAACGCCCCAACCCAAAAGACGGAGAAGUGAUUGUCUUCACUGACCACAUGAACCGUGGCUUCUCACCGCCCGGUUCAAAAUUCUUCAGAGAGGUCCUUCAUUUUUUCAAACUCCAUCCUCAGGACCUUGGACCCAAUUCCAUCUCUAACAUUUGUAACUUCCAAGUACUCUGUGAGGUGUAUCUUCAGCAAGAGCCGACCGUAGAGCUGUUUAGGGAGUACUUUUAUCUGAACCGGCAGAACGAAUGUACCAACGGUCCUAGCUUAGAACUUGGAGGCAUCUCAAUUCAGCGCCGUCAGGGUGCUGUCUUCCCUCUCAUCAUCUUACCAAGUCACCCAAAGGACUGGAACCAAACUUGGUUUUAUUGUUAGGAUAUUUCUCCAGCAAACGAGAAGCCGCUGCCGGGUUACCGCCCCGGUCGUCUUGACUCCAAGUUCACCCUUCCGGAUAAGCUCACCGUUGCUGAACGCAAGAGGCUGCUUCCAUCCAUCAGAAGAAUCAACGCUUUGUUGGGCAACGGUUUAACCGGAGUAGAUCUGACCCGCUGCUGGAUCUCAUGGCGGGUUAUUCCAUUAAGCCGUCGAUCGAAACUGAUGUAUGAAUAUGGCAGAAGCCCGGACGACUUUCUUCGUCACAGCCCAGUUGAACUCACCGAACAAGACAUUGUUUCAAUGUCAAUCCUUUUGGUGAAUGGGAAAUAUGAAGCCUGCAGCAUUGUUGGGUUAAAGCCCUUCUGCAAGCUUAACCCGGUACCAGAAGUAAGCUUAACCCGGCACUGAUCUUUCUUCUUGUCUUUGCAGGCCAAUUCUGACUUUUGGAAAGUCAAAUAUGAUCACGAGGCUGCUAAGAAGGCAAAAGCGCUACCAUGAACACCAAAAAGUCGACCCGGAAGUCAAAGAAGAAAAAGAAAACCACUGCUGAAGAUUUAAUGAAACUUGAUGAUACGUCUGACUGAGGUAGCCCUUGAUUCCCUUGGCCAAUUUUUUAACAAUCUUAUUGACACUGAUCCUUACCAGGAUGACACUGGGGCCAGUCGGGCCGGGGAAGCAGAGGUGACUAUCAUUUCCUUUGACUCAAAGCCCUUACCAAGACACAGAGUUCGACAAGUGAUCCGUAAAGUAAGGUUUUCUAACCCCUUAGCUCACUUGGAUCCCAACUUUCAUUUGAAAAAACAGCAACAUGAAAGCCGCCGUGAAGCUGGGAUUGAAGACGAACCGGCUGUCAUCCUUCAACAGACCCCUCGGAAACAUCCGAACGAGGUUUACUUAUUGCUAUCUUUAACUUGCUUUAAUGAAUCCUGCUCCUCAUAUUUCUUUUAACUCUUUUCUUUUAUUCUUUCAGGAGGUGUCUCGUUCCUUAGGCGACUCAUCUCAAACACAAUUCCCGGCUUUCAAGACUGCACCUGGGUAAUCAGAAAUCCUCUUUUCUUCCGGGUCGCUCAAUUGUAUCUUGAUGCUGACAAUCCUACAAUAUUUUUUCCUUAGCGGCCAGGCUAAAUCCAAGAAGACGAAGGCAGCAAAACCGGUGAAAGACCCGCCAGUUCUAGCAUCUAACCCGGCUAGGCCGCCUUCUCCAUUAAUUGACGCCCCAGAAGACCCGCCUAUUGUUAAUGAAGCAAAUCCUCCGGAGCCAUCUCUUGACGAAGCCGCUAUAAAUCCACGUGCUCAAGAUGUUCAAAUUACUGGGAGCCGCUUUGUUGAUGGGGGCUUAAGGUUCACUUUGAUGUUGCCAACUAUGACCGUCUCAAUGCCAGUGAUAUCUUAUCCGGCUAUCUCAGUCAUGUACACUCCAGUCGUGAGUCUAAGAUCGAGAUGGUCAAGUAGCUUUAGUUGAAGUAUGAGGUAUGUUGUUUUCGGUUUACCAAUAUUCCUUCAGCCCCCAAGUCUUCAGAUUAUGAGAGAAACGGAAUAACCUGUAGACUUAGAAUAUAGGCCGAGACUUUUACCUCUGAAUCUUUGUCUGAUAUCGAUAGAACAAAACUACACCCAUAGUCCCCAAGGACCGGUUUAUUUUGAUCAUUAAUGAAUCGGUACUUUAGAAUUUAAAACCAUCUGCAAAGUACUUAACACUCUGGUUUAACCUUGAUAAACUUGCUGAACUGCGUACAUUAGCCCCCAAGUGCCAAGUGUUGUUACUUUGUAAAGGACUUGGGACUUCAAAUAUGUUGGUAGAGUCGUAAAAAAUUGAUUUGGCAUACAUUAGCCCCCAAGUGUCAAGUGUUGUUACUUAUUAAAGGACUUGGGACUUCAAAUAUGUUGGUAGAGUCGUAAAAAUUUGAUUUGGCAUACAUUAGCCCCCAAGUGUCAAGUGGUUUAUUCGUAAAGUACUUGGGACUUGAAUCUAGAAUUUAAAUACUGGAAUUUGAAACCAAGUCUUGACUUAUCUAAAAGUUUCACAGAAUGCAUUGUCUGAAUUGAAUUCUUAAUUAUCGGACGCAAAGACCCGGCUAGCAAGUCAAGAGUCCGAAAUCAAAUCUUCCACUUCCAAACUGCAAAUGAGCCUUUCUGCAAUGGAAAAUUUGAAGACCAGCUUUGCUACCAAGGAGAAGGCUUAGGAAAAUGAGAAAACACUCCUGACCCGAUGAGCUGAGACAGCCGAAACAGCUUGAUACGUCUCCAACGUAUCUAUAAUUUUUGAUUGCUCCAUGCUAUAUUAUCUACUGUUUUGGGCAAUAUUGGGCUUUAUUAUCCACUUUUAUAUUAUUUUUGGGACUAACCUAUUAACCGGAGGCCUAGCCCAGAUUUCCUGUUUUAUGCCUAUUUUAGUGUUUCGAGGAAAAGGAAUAUCAGACGGAGUCAAAACGAAACGAAAUCAACUAGAGAAGUUAUUUUUGGAACGAAAGCCACCCGAUGGACUUGGACCCCACGUCAAGGAAGGAACGAGGUGCUCACGAGGGUGGGGGGUGCCCCCCCUAGGGCGCGCCCCCUAUCUCGUGGGGCCCUCAUGGCUCCACUGACGUACCUCCUGCACCCAUAUAUACCUACGUGACCUAAAACUUCCAUAACGCAACAUAGAUCUAGAGUUCCACCGCCAGAAGCCUCCGUAGCCACCAAAAGUCAAUCGGGACCCUGUUCCGGCACCCUGCCGGAGGGGGGAACCCUCACCGGUGGCCAUCUUCAUCAUCUCGGUGCUCUCCAUGACGAGGAGGGAGUAGUUCUCCCUCGGGGCUGAGGGUAUGUACCAGUAGCUAUGUGUUUGAUCUCUCUCUCUCGUGUUCUUGAUUUGGCACGAUCUUGAUGUAUCGCGAGCUUUGCUAUUAUAGUUGGAUCUUAUGUUUCUCCUCCCCCUCUUCUCUCUUGUAAUGAAUUGAGUUUCCCCUUUGAAGUAAUCUUAUAGGAUUGAGUCUUUAAAGACUUGAGAACACUUGAUGUAUGUCUUGCCGUGGAUAUCUGUGGUGACAAUGGAAUACCACGUGCCACUUGAUGUAUGUUGAGGUGAUCAACUUGCGGGUUUCGUGACAUUGGGAACCUAUGCAUAGGGGUUGGCACAUGUUUUCGUCGUGAUUCUCCGGUAGAACUUUGGGGCACUCUGUGAGGUUCUAUGUGUUGGUUGAAUAGAUGAAUCUGAGAUUGUGUGAUGCAUAUCGUAUAAUCAUACCCACGGAUACUUGAGGUGACAUUGGAGUAUCUAGGUGACAUUAGGGCUUUGGUUGAUUUGUGUCUUAAGGUGUUAUUCUAGUACGAACUCUAGGGCUGUUUGUGACACUUAUAGGAAUAGCCCAACGGAUUGAUUGGAAAGAAUAACUUUGAGGUGGUUUCGUACCCUACCAUAAUCUCUUCGUUCGUUCUCCGCUAUUAGUGACUUUGGAGUGACUCUUUGUUGCAUGUUGAGGGAUAGUUAUGUGAUCCAAUUAUGUUCGUAUUGUUGAGGGAACUUACACUAGUGAAAGUAUGAACCCUAGGCCCUAUUUCCUAUCAUUGUAAUACCGUUUACGCUCACGUUUAUCACUUGCUACCUUGCUAUUUUUAUAUUUUCAUAUUACAAAAACUAUUAUCUACUAUCCAUAUUCCACUUGUAUCACCAUCUCUUCGCCGAACUAGUGCACCUAUACAAUUUACCAUUGUAUUGGCUGUGUUGGGGACACAAGAGACUCUUUGUUAUUUGGUUGCAGGGUUGCUUGAGAGAGACCAUCUUCAUCCUACACCUCCCACGGAUUGAUAAACCUUAGGUCAUCCACUUGAGGGAAAUUUGCUACUAUCCUACAAACCUCUGCACUUGGAGGCCCAACAACGUCUACAAGAAGAAGGUUGUGUAGUAGACAUCAAGCUCUUUUCUGGCACCGUUGCCGGGGAGGUGAGUGCUUGAAGGUAUAUCUUUAGAUCUUGCAAUCGAGUCUUUUAGUUUCUUGUUUUAUCACUAGUUUAGUUUAUAAAAGAAAACUACAAAAAAUGGAAUUGAGUUUGUCUCAUACGCUUCAUAUUUUUAAUAUCUUUCAUGAGUAUGAUGGAAAGGAUAAUUGUGCUCAAGUGCUAGAAUAAGAAAUCUAUAAAAUGUUUGGCACUAAAUAUUUGAAUGAUGAGCAUGAUUGCAAUGGUGUUAGUAUGAAUUCCUUGAAUAUCCAUGAUGCUAAUGAUAUACAAAGCCACAAGCUUGGGGAAGCUAUGUUUGAUGAAGAUGAUAUUUUUUGUCCCCCAAGUUUUCAUGAGCAAAUUUAUUAUGAUGAAAGCAUGCCUCCUAUUUAUGAUGAUUAUGUUGAUGAAAGUGGAUUUGGAGAAGUCAUGACUUUAUUUUGUGAUGAAUCCACUAUUCCGGAAGAGGUUCCAAUUGAUUAUGAGAACAAAGUUGCUAUCUAUGAUGAUUAUUGUGAUGACUUGUAUGCUAUUAAAAAUAGUAAUAUCCAUGAAACUUGUCAUCAUGAUUUUAGUUUUCAAUUGGAUUAUGCCUCACAUGAUAAUUAUUUUGUUGAGUUUGCUCCCACUAUUAUUCAUGAGAAGAAUUUUACUUAUGUGGAGAGUAAUAAAAUUUCUAUGCUUGUAGAUCAUGAAAAGAAUGCUUUAGGUGCUGGUUAUAUUGUUGAAUUCAUUCAUGAUUCUACUGAAAAUUAUUAUGAGGGAGGAACAUAUGCUUGUAGGAAUUGCAAUAAUAUCAAGUGUCCUCUCUAUGUGCUUAAAAUUUUGAAGUUAUGCUUGUUUUACCUUCCUAUGCAAGUUGAUUAUUGUUCCCAUAAGUUGUUUGCUCACAAAAUCCCUAUGCAUAGGAAGUAUGUUAGACUUAAUAUGCUAUUCAUAUUCUUCAUGAUGCUCUCUUUAUGUUACAAUUCUUAUCUUUUAUGUGAGCAUCAUUGAAAUCAUCAUGCCUAGCUAGGGGCAUUAAACGAUAGCGCUUGUUGGGAGGAAACCCAAUUUUAUUUUAGUUCCUUGCUUUUUGUUCCUGUUUAGUAAGAAAUAAUUCAUCUAGACUCUUUUUAGAUGUGUUUUUAUGCUUUUAAUUAGUGUUUGUGCCAAGUAGAACCUUUGGGAAGACUUGGGGGAAGUCUGGUUGAUCAUGCUGUCAAAAACAGAAACUUUAGCACUCACGAGAAAUUGCUGCCAUUUUUAUUUGGAGAGUGCUAUGUAGUUAAUUCUGUUUUAAGAUGAUUAAUAGAUAAAUUCCUCAGGUCCAGAAAUUUAUUUGUGAAUUUUAUGAGUUCCAGAAGUAUAAGUUUGAUCCAGAUUACUACAGACUGUUCUAUUUUUGACAGAUUCUGUUUUUCAUGUGUUGUUUACUUAUUUUGAUGAAUCUAUGGCUAGUAAAAUAGUUUAUAAACCAUAGAUAAGUUUUAAUACAGUAGGUUUAACACCAAUAUAAAUAAAGAAUGAGUUCACUACAGUACCUUGAAGUGGUGAUUUAUUUUCUUAUACUAACGGAGCUUACGAGCUUUCUACUUUAAGUUUUGUGUUGUAAAGUUUUCAAGUUUUGGGUAAGGAUUCGAUGGACUAUGGAACAAGGAGUGGCAAGAUCCUAAGAUUGGGGAUUCCCAAGGCACCCCAAGGUAAUAUUCAAGGAUAACCAAGAGCCUAAGCUUGGGGGUGCCCCGGAAGGCAUCGCCUCUUUCGUCUUCGUUCAUCGGUAACUUUACUUGGAGCUAUAUUUUUAUUCGCCACAUGAUAUGUGUUUUGCUUGGAGCGUCAAUUUAUUUUGUUAGGAUUUGCUUGAUGUUAUUUAUAACAAUGUUUUGCAUCUUUUAUUUCAAUAAAAGUGGCAUUGAUAGCCUUUACUAUGCCUAUUUUAGAAGUCUACAUGUUGCUGUUUGAAAACAGAAAGUUUACCGCUGUUGGAAUAAUUCCCUAGAAAAGUCAGAAUGUGAUAAAAUGUUGAAACCUUUUGCAUAUUAAGGUCUGAUAAAUUUAUUACAUUGGGAAUUUUAUUUCAUAAUUUUUGGAUCUAGGGAAGUAUGGAUGUUGCAGCAUUCUUUGCAGACUAUCCUGUUUAGGCAGAUUGCUGUUAUGUUUGCAUUGUUUGCAUAUGUUUGCUUCUUUAAUGAUUCUAUUUGAGGAUAGGACUAUUAAAUAUGCAGAUGCAUUUAGUAUGCAAUGUUGAAUAAUAAUUUUAGUGAUUUGCUACAGUAGAGUAUGAUAAGGUUUUGGCAAUGGUUUAUACUAACUUAUCUCACGAGUCCUUGUUGAGUUUUGUGUGGAUGAAGCUUUUGAGAUUUAGGGAGACCAUGAUAUGAGAGGAAUUAAGGAGACACAAAAGCUCAAGCUUGGGGAUGCCUAAGGCACCCCAAGAUAAUAUUUCAAGAAGUAUCAAGUAUCUAAGCUUGGGGAUGCCCCGGUUGGCAUCCCACCUUUCUUCCUCAACAACUAUCGGUUAGUAUCGGUUGAUCCUAAGUUUUUGCUUCUUCACAUGAUGUUUGCUAUUCUUAGAUGUCAUUUUAUUUUGCUUUGCUUGCUGUUUGAAUAGAGUAACAAGAUCUGAAAUUAUAAAAUGUUAGAGAGUCUUCACAUAGCUAAAUAAUCAUUCAACUACUCAUUGAUCUUCACUUAUAUCUUUCGGAGUAGUUUGUCAUUUGCUCUAGUGCUUCACUUAUAUCUUUUAGAGCAUGGUGAUAGUUUUAUUUUGAAUAAAUAGAUGAACUCUCAUGCUUCACUUAGAUUAGUUUGAGAGUCUUAAAUAGCAUGGUAAUGUGCUUAAAAAUCCUAAUAUGCUAGGUAUUCAAGAAUAAUAAAAUUCUCUUAUGAGUGUGUUGAAUACUAAGAGAAGUUUGAUGCUUGAUGAUUGUUUUGAGAUAUGGAGAUGGUGAUAUUAGAGUCAUGCUAGUUGAGUAGUUGUGAAUUUGAGAAAUACUUGUGUUGAAGUUUGUGAUUCCCGUAGCAUGCACGUAUGGUGAACCGUUAUGUGACGAAGUCGGAGCAUGAUUUAUUUAUUGAUUGUCUUCCUUAUGAGUGGCGGUCGGGGAUGAGCGAUGGUCUUUUCCUACCAAUCUAUCCCCCUAGGAGCAUGCGCAUAAUACUUUGUUUCGAUAACUAAUAGAUUUUUGAAAUAAGUAUGUGAGUUCUUUGUGACUAAUGUUGAGUCCAUGGAUUAUACGCACUCUCCCCCUUCCACCUUUGCUAGCCUCUCUAGUACCGCGCAACUUUCACCGGUACCAUAAACCCACCAUAUACCUUCCUCAAAACAGCCACCAUACCUACCUAUUAUGGCAUUUCCAUAGCCAUUCCGAGAUAUAUUGCCAUGCAACUUUCCACCAUUCCGCUUAUUAUGACACACUCCAUCAUUGUCAUAUUGCUUAGCAUGAUCAUGUAGUUGACAUUGUAUUUGUGGCAAAGCCACCGUUCAUAAUUCUUUCAUACUUGUCACUCUUGGUUCAUUGCAUAUCCUGGUACACCGCAGGAGGCAUUCAUAUAGAGUCAUACUUUGUUCUAGUAUCGAGUUGUAAUCAUUGAGUUGUAAAUAAAUAAAAGUGUGAUGAUCAUCAUUUAAUAGAGCAUUGUCCCAAAUAAAAAAAAGAGAAAGGCCAAAUAAAAAAAGAAAGGCCCAAAAAAGGGGCAAUGCUACUAUCCUUUUUCCACACUUGUGCUUCAAAGUAGCACCAUGAUAUAGCGAGUCUCAUAUAUUAUGCUUCAAAGUAGCACCAUGUUCUUCAUAUAGAGAGUCUCAUAUGUUGUCACUUUCAUAUACUAGUGGAAAUUUUACGUUAUAGAACUUGGCUUGUAUAUUCCAAUGAUGGGCUUCCUCAAAUUGCCCUAGGUCUUCGUGAGAAAGCAAGUUGGAUGCACACCCACUAGUUUCUUUUGUUGAGCUUUCAUAUACUUAUAGCUCUAGUGCAUCCAUUGCAUGGCAAUCCCUACUCACUCACAUUGACAUCUAUUGAUGGGCAUCUCCAUAGCCCGUUGAUACGCCUAGUCAAUGUGAGACUAUCUUCUCCCUCUUUGUCUUCUCCACAACCACCAUUCUAUUCCACCUAUAGUGCUAUAUCCAUGGCUCAUGCUCAUGUAUUGCGUGAAGAUUGAAAAAGUUUGAGAAUAUCAAAAGUAUGAAACAAUUGCUUGGCUUGUCAUCGGGGUUGUGCAUGAUUUAAAUAUGUUGUGUGGUGAAGAUGGAGCAUAGCCAGACUAUAUGAUUUUGUAGGGAUAGCUUUCUUUGGCCAUGUUAUUUUGAGAAGACAUAAUUGCUUAGUUAGUAUGCUUGAAGUAUUAUUGUUUUCAUGUCAAUAUUAAACUUUUGUCUUGAAUCUUAUGGAUCUGAACAUUCAUGCCAUAAUUAAGAAGAAUUACAUUGAAAUUAUGCCAAGUAGCAUUCCACAUCAAAAAUUAUCUUUUUUAUCAUUUACCUACUCGAGGACGAGCAGGAAUUAAGCUUGGGGAUGCUUGAUACGUCUCCAACGUAUCUAUAAUUUUUGAUUGCUCCAUGCUAUAUUAUCUACUGCUUUGGGCAAUAUUGGGCUUUAUUAUCCACUUCUAUAUUAUUUUUGGGACUAACCUAUUAACCGGAGGCCCAGCCCAGAUUUCCUGUUUUAUGCCUAUUUCAGUGUUUCAAGGAAAAGGAAUAUCAGACGGAGUCGAAACAGAACGAAAUCAACUAGAGAAGUUAUUUUUGGAACGAAAGCCACCCGAUGGAGUUGGACCCCACGUCAAGGAAGGAAUGAGGUGCUCACGAGGGUGGGGGCGCCCCCCCCCCCCCUAGGGCGUGCCCCCUGUCUUGUGGGGUCCUCGUGGCUCCCCUAACGUACCUCCUGCACCCAUAUAUACCUACGUGACCUAAAACUUCCAUAACGCAACAUAGAUCGAGAGUUCCGCCGCCAGAAGCCUCCAUAGCCACCAACAGUCAAUCGGGACCCUGUUCUGGCGCCCUGCCGGAGGGGGGAACCCUCACCGGUGGCCAUCUUCAUCAUCUCGGUGCUCUCCAUGACGAGGAGGGAGUAGUUCUCCCUCGGGGCUGAGGGUAUGUACCAGUAGCUAUGUGUUUGAUCUCUCUCUCUCGUGUUCUUGAUUUGGCACGAUCUUGAUGUAUCGCGAGCUUUGCUAUUAUAGUUGGAUCUUAUGUUUCUCCUCCCCCUCUUCUCUCUUGUAAUGAAUUGAGUUUCCCCUUUGAAGUAAUCUUAUCGGAUUGAGUCUUUAAAGACUUGAGAACACUUGAUGUAUGUCUUGCCAUGGAUAUCUGUGGUGACAAUGGGAUACCACGUGCCACUUGAUGUAUGUUGAGGUGAUCAACUUGCGGGUUUCAUGACAUUGGGAACCUAUGCAUAGGGGUUGGCACACGUUUUCAUCGUGAUUCUCCGGUAGAACUUUGGGGCACUCUGUGAGGUUCUAUGUGUUGGUUGAAUAGAUGAAUCUGAGAUUGUGUGAUGCAUAUCGUAUAAUCAUACCCACGGAUACUUGAGGUGACAUUGGAGUAUCUAGGUGACAUUAGGGUUUUGGUUGAUUUGUGUCUUAAGGUGUUAUUCUAGUAUGAACUCUAGGGCUGUUUGUGACACUUAUAGGAAUAGCCAACGGAUUGAUUGGAAAGAAUAACUUUGAGGUGGUUUCGUACCCUACCAUAAUCUCUUCGUUCGUUCUCCGCUAUUAGUGACUUUGGAGUGACUCUUUGUUGCAUGUUGAGGGAUAGUUAUGUGAUCCAAUUAUGUUAGUAUUGUUGAGGGAACUUACACUAGCGAAAGUAUGAACCCUAGGCCCUAUUUCCUAUCAUUGUAAUACCGUUUACGCUCACUUUUAUCACUUGCUACCUUGCUAUUUUUAUAUUUUCAUAUUACAAAAAGUAUUAUCUACUAUACUUAUUCCACUUGUAUCACCAUCUCUUCGCCGAACUAGUGCACCUAUACAAUUUACCAUUGUAUUGGCUGUGUUGGGGACACAAGAGACUCUUUGUUAUUUGGUUGCAGGGUUGCUUGAGAGAGACCAUCUUCAUCCUACACCUCCCACGGAUUGAUAAACCUUAGGUCAUCCACUUGAGGGAAAUUUGCUACUGUCCUACAAACCUCUACACUUGGAGACCCAACAACGUCUACAAGAAGAAGGUUGUGUAGUAGACAUCACAGCUCUGAAAGAAAUUUCAACGGAGCUGAACAGUUUGAAGGGCCGGGUGUCUCAGAUGGUUGCUCCUAUCUUUGGUAAGAUGCCUGAGUUGACCUUUUGUAUAAUUUUUGCCAAACCGGAAUAUGAUCCGCCAACUUACUCUGUUAAAAAUAUAUGCAGGUCCGCGAAGUAAAAAUCUGAGCCAAGACCCAUUGAUUAAACUGAAGGCAGUAUACACCUUGGUUGAACAAUUGUACAUUGGUGCACAACGGGCUCUGGCCGCUAUCUCUCCUACCAAUCAAGGACCCAACCGGCUUAGCGAUGUCCUUAAGAAGCUUUCCAUCCUUCCUGCUAGAUUCCAAGAAGUAAAACGCUCCUGCGCGCGAGCCGGAGCUUUGACUACCCUAAGCCGCUCCAAGGCUUGGGUGCCAGACCUAGACCCGGCGGACGUAGCCAGAGGUUACCCUACUUUGAAGGAGGACGGGUCUCCAUUUGAUCAGGAUGAUUUCAUAGCGUGUGUACGUCAAGUCCGGCCUCAGGCGACUAGUCUUGGAGAUGACACCAAUGUUGACAGGUACCAGCCGGGUUUUGAUAGUGAAAAUAAGAAGAUGGCCACUCCUUCAUACAAAGUAGCAGAUCUGAUCCCACCUGUGAGAGAAGAUACCUUUGCCCUGGAAAUUGACCCGGUCGGCCUGAUUGACGACGAAGCCGAAUUUUUCGCCAUGAACGGCUUUGAUUGGUCAAAAUCCAACUUUUAGCAAACAGAAGGUGGUGAACCGGCGAGGGAUGGACGAUGAUCAUCUUCAUAGGCUUAUAAAGCCUCGUAAUAACUGUAGUUGCUAAAACACCGCAUGUUUGCUUAUGUUGUCAUGCAUAAAAAUACUUCUAUGUGAAUCUGCUUCCAGAUGUCAAUGUAUGCAUCAUUUAAUGUUUGUCUCUGCGAUAUUUGAACUCUGUUUCUGUGAAUACAAGAAAAAUACUGGCAAGGCGGUUUAGAACCAAAUGGGCUUAGACACCCUAAUUCACAGCCAAUAUAUUUACCUCAAUAAAGAACAGAGACAAAUAUAAAGAAAGGAUAAGGGUUAAUACGAAUUUUUGAGCUAACGCGGCGGGUAAGCGGGCAUAAGUAAAAAUCAUACCUUGUCCUUGUUGAUCCUUAGAUCGUCGGGUUUAAUAAUCCGGGUGGUGAACUUGAUAAUUCAAUAUGUAUGAAACGUUAAUACAUCUUGAAUACUCAAUGAUCAUCAUAUCUUAGUAGCUCGUGCCUUUGGAUCCUUGAGCCACCGGCUUGAAUAACCCGGGCGGCUAUGUUGUUCAAUAAUUGAGCCGGGGAAGAAAACCAGGCUAUCUUAUUUGUAAUAUUGAAACAACAAAAGCUAAAAGGCAAGCAACAGAUAAUAAACAUAAUUUUAACUAUGUAUUCAAAAGGCUGGGGGUUUCUGAUUCGAAUACGAUCAGUAAACCGGACCAAAGGGGUUAAGCUAAGGUUCGAAUACGACCAUAUAGCCCCCAGUGGCUUUGGCGUUGCACCGAUCAAGAGGGUACCGACAGCUAUGUUCUCUUUGGUUCGAAUACGGCCUAUGUUUGAACAGGAAGCCCCCAAAUGACCUUGAGAGGUUUUUAACGACCCUGAUUCGAAUACGAUCCAAGUCGGACUCAAAAGGGGUUAAGCUAUGAUUCGGAUACGAUCAAGAAGCCCCAAGUGAGUUUGGCCUUGAGCCGAUCAAGAGGGUUACGACAGCUAUGUUCUAUUUGGUUCGAAUAUGACCUAUGUUUGAACAGGAAGCCCCCAAGUGACCUUGAGAUUUGCAGCUAGAUUCGGAUACGAUCAUAAGCCGGACCAAAAAGGUUAAACUUGAUUCAAAUAUGAUCAGCUCCUUAAUAGUCAUUUGUUAGUAAGAAAUAAUAAAGAUGUAUGAUCUGUGAAAAGAAAAGAGACCGAUGGUCUUACUUUAUUGCUUAUCAUAGUAUAUACAACGUGAACGUAUGUACAUGUUGAGAGCCGGUGGCUCAGGUGUAAUAUGGCCGAAGUUGAGCAAUGUUCCAUGGCCGGCGGGUCUCCUCUUCCGACUUACGUGAGUCUGCAUGCUCUCGAACGUCAAUGAGGUAGUAUGACCCAUUGUUUAAAUUUUUACUGACCACAAAAGGUCCUUCCCAAGGUGGGGAUAACUUGUGUGCAUCUGAAAGAUCUUGGAUGAGCCGGAGCACUAAGUCGCCUUCCUGAAAAGUCCUGGUCUUGACCCGGCGGCUGUGAUAACGACAUAGGUCCUGCUGAUAAAUUGUUGACCGCGCCGCUGCUAAGUCUCUUUCUUCAUCCAAUAUGUCAAGCGCAUCCUGGCUGGCUUUUUCAUUGUUAGCUUCAACAUAAGCCGCCACACGGGGCGAGUCAUGACGGAUGUCACUAGGCAACACUGCUUCUGCUCCAUAAAUCAUGAAGAAGGGUGUGUAACCCGUCGACCUGUUGGGCAUAGUAUUGAUGCUCCAUAACACUGAGGGUAACUCCUCUACUCAACAACCCGGUGUUCGCUGUAAAGGAACCAUAAUCCGGGGUUUUAGCCCUUUCAGAAUUUCCUGAUUGGCUCUCUCAGCUUGACCAUUGGAUUGAGGAUGAGCUACAGAAGAAACAUCAAGGCAGAUGUGCUCUCGCUGGCAAAACUCUUCCAUAGCCCCAUGAGACAGAUUAGUGCCAUUGUCUGUGAUAAUACUGUGUGGAAACCCGAAAUGGAAGAUUACUUUUUUCAUGAACUGAACCGCCGUGGCUGCAUCACACUUACUCACAGGCUCUGCCUCAACCCACUUAGUAAACUUAUCAACUGCCACUAAGAGAUGUGCCUUUUUAUCCUUAGACCUUUUGAAAGGUCCCACCAUGUCAAGCCCCCAAACCGCAAACGGCCAAGUGAUUGGAAUCAUCCGGAGCUCUUGAGCCGGCACAUGCGCUCGUCGUGCAAAUUUUUGACAUCCAUCACAUCUAUUGACCAGAUCUUCUGCAUCAGCGUGAGCCGUCAACCAGUAAAAACUGUGACAAAACGCCUUGGCCACUAAAGAUUUUGACCCGGCGUGAUGACCGCAAUCGCCUUCGUGGAUCUCACGAAGGAUUUCUUGACCUUCUUCGGGGGAAACACAUCGUUGAAACGCUCCAGAAACACUAUGAUGAAAUAACUCUCCAUCCGAAAUCGUCAUGGACUUAGGUCGCCGGGUUAUCUGCCGAGCCAAGGUCUCAUCUGCUGGCAACUCUCCCCGGGUCAUGUAAGCCAAGAACGGCACCGUCCAAUCUGGGAUGUCAUGAAGAGCCGCUACCAACUGUGCCUCCGGGUCAGGAACAGCUAAAUCUUCUUCUGUGGGCAACUUGACAGAGGGGUUAUGCAAAACAUCCAAAAAGGUGUUGGGUGGCACCGGCUUACGCUGAGACCCUAGCCGGCUUAAAGCAUCAGCCGCUUCAUUCUUUCGACGGUCAAUGUGUUCCACCUGAUAACCUUUAAAAUAUCCUGCAACAGCAUCGACCUCUCGGCGAUAAGCCACCAUGAGAUGGUCUUUGGAAUUCCACUUGCCAGAUACAUGUUGAGCCACUAGAUCUGAGUCACCAAGACAUCUGACCCGGCUCAAGCUCAUCUCCUUUGCCACUCGCAGACCAUGGAGCAAGGCUUCAUACUCUGCUGCGUUGUUAGUGCAUGGAAACAUCAACCGUAACACAUAACAAAAUUUAUCACCUCAUGGCGAAGUUAAUACGACUCCAGCUCCCGAGCCUUCCAAUUGCCUGGAUCCAUCAAAAUGAAGUCCGUCUUCUCUUCCGGCAUCUGCAUCUCUGUCCAGUCAUUGAUGAAGUCAACCAGGGCUUGAGACUUAAUUGCAGUACGUGGAACAUACUUCAACCCAUGAGAUCCAAGCUCAAUUGCCCACUUGGCGACUCGCCCCGUGGCUUCUCUGUUUUGAAUAAUAUCUCCCAAAGGAGCAGAGCUAACCACAGUGAUUGGAUGUCACUGAAAUUAAUCCUUAAGCUUCCGGCUUGCCAUGAAUACCCCAUAAACAAGCUUCUGCCAAUGUGGAUAUCGUUGCUUAGACUCAAUUAGCACUUCACUGACAUAAUAAACCGACCGCUGAACCGGAUGCUCUUUGCCAGCCUCCUUGCGCUCUACCACCAAAGCCACACUAACCACCCAUGAGUUGGCAGCUACGUAUAACAAUAGCGGCUCUUUUUCAAUUGGAGCAGCCAGGACCGGCGGCUCAGCCAGUUGUGCCUUCAGAUCCUCAAAAGCAGCGUUUGCAGCAUCGCUCCAAAUAAAAACAUCUGUUUUCUUCAUCAACUGAUACAGAGGCAUAGCCUUUUCCCCUAACCGGCUUAUGAACCGGCUCAAAGCAGCCACAUGACCCGCCAGUUGCUGAACAUCAUUGACGCAGAUUGGUUUGGCUAGAGAUGUAAUUGCCUUGAUUUUUUUCCGGGUUAGCUUCAAUACCUCGGUUAGACACCAAAAAACCCAAGAGCUUGCCAGCUGGCACCCCAAAAACACACUUGGCCGGGUUAAGCAUCAUCUUGUAAACCCGAAGAUUAUCAAAAGUCUCUUUCAGGUCUGUGACCAAGGUUUCCUCUUCCCUGGAUUUCACCACUAUAUCAUCCACAUAGGCAUGAACAUUGUGCCCAAUUUGAUCGUGAAGACAAUUCUGCACACACCGCUGGUAAGUCGCCUGGGCACUCUUAAGCCCAAAAGGCAUAGACACAUAGCAGAAACCCCAAAAGGAGUUAUAAAAGUUGUUUUCUCUUGAUCCUUGACUGCCAUCUUAAUCUGAUGAUAACCGGAAUAAGCAUCUAAGAAACUCAACCGUGCGCAACCCGCCGUAGCAUCAAUGAUCUGAUCAAUACGGAGGAGAGCAAAAGGAUCAGUCGGACAAGCCUUGUUCAAAUCUGUGUAAUCCACACACAUACAUCAGGUGCCAUUCUUUUUUAGUACAAGCACCGGGUUAGCUAACCAUUCUGGGUGAAAGACCUCCACAGUGAACCCGGCUGCUAAGAGCCAGGCCACGUCUUCUCCGAUGGCCUUGCGCCUUUCUUCAUUGAACCGCCGGAGAAACUGUCUGACAGGUUUGAACUUCCGAUUGAUAUUAAGAGUAUGCUCAGCGAGUUCCCUUGGGACACCCGGCAUGUCUGAAGGUUUCCAUGCAAAAAUAUCCCGAUUCUCAUGGAUGAACUCGAUGAGCGCGCUUUCCUAUUUUGGAUCCAAGUUUGCGCUGAUGAUGAACUGUUUAGAUGAAUCGCCAGGCACAAAGUCAACCAUCUUAGUGUCAUCAGCUGAUUUGAAUUUUAACUCUGGCUCAUGCUCUGUUCUUGGUUUCUUUAAUGACGGCAUGUCCGCCGGGUCAACAUGAUCCUUGUAGAAUUUCAACUCCUCUGUUGCACAAACAGAUUCAGCAUAGGCUGCAUCACCUUCUUCACAUUCCAAGGCUAUCUUCCGGCUCCCAUGGACUGUAAUGGUGCCCUUGUGACCCGGCAUCUUGAGCUACAAAUAUACGUAACACGGCCGAGCCAUGAACUUGGCAUAAGCCGGCCGCCCAAACAGAGCAUGAUAUGGGCUUUUGAUCUUAACCACUUCAAAGGUUAAUUUUUCUGCUCUGGAGUCAUACCCAUCCCCAAAGGCUACUUCCAGCUCGAUCUUACCAACUGGGUAUGCCGACUUACCAGGUACCACACCAUGAAAAAUAGUGUUGGAUUGUUUAAGAUUUUUAUCCGUCAAUCCCAUCCGGCGGAACGUCUCAUAGUAGAGGAUGUUGAUGCUACUGCCUCCAUCCAUGAGCACCUUAGUAAACUUGUACCCACCAACUUGAGGUGCUACCACCAAAGCCAAGUGACCCAGAUUAUCAACCCGGGGCGGGUGAUCCUCUCUGCUCCACACAAUAGGCUGCUCCGACCAACGUAAAUAACGUGGAAUUGCUGGCUCAACGACAUUGAUGGCCCUCUUGUGGAGUUUCUGGUCCCUCUUGCAUAAACUGGUAGUAAAGACAUGAUAUUGUCCGCUACUCAACUGCUUCGGGUUGCUUUGAUAGCCGGAUUGCUGCUGCUGAUUCCCUUGGCCGUAUUGCUGAUUAUAUCCUCAUUGGUGACCAGGAUAACCCUGACCGUGAAAACCUCCUCCACUUGAACCAGCGCCUGGGCCCUGAAAGCCGCCUCCACCUGAGCCGCCGCCUGGGCCGUGACCCCCAUCAAAUGCAUUUGAAUUUUUAAAUGCCUUCAUGAUCGUGCAAUCCUUCCACAAGUGGGUGGCUGGUUUCUCCCGGGUGUCGUGUUUUGGACAAGGUUCAUUCAAUAAUUGCUCAAGGGUGGGGCCUGACCCGCCCGAUCGAGGGGGUUGCCUGCCCUUGCGCCGCUGAUUACCACCCUGCGCAUUAGUAUUAGCAACAAACUCAUCAGCCUUACGUUUAUUACCUCCUUGAUUCGCCGGGUUAUGCUGGUGACCCUUGCCAUUGUCGUUCUUCUUUCCCUUCGUUGCCUUUUCUUCAUCAGACACCGGGUCCUUGGUGGUAUCAGAAUCGGCAUACUUGACAAGAGCUGCCAUCAACGUCCCCAUGUCAUUAUAGUCACGUUUAAGCCGCCCCAACUUCUGCUUCAGAGGUUCAAAGCGGCAAUUUUUCUCCAACAUCAAAACUGCUGAGCCGGCAUCCAUCUUAUCAGAUGAAUGUAUUAUCUCCUUGACCCGGUGCACCCAAUGGGUUGUAGAUUAUCCAUCCUCUUACUUGCAAUUGGUCAGGUCCAUAAUCGACAUUGGUUGCUUACACGUGUCCUUAAAGUUCUGGAUGAACCGUGCUUUCAACUCUGCCCAUGAGCCGAUAGAAUUGGGUGGCAAUCCCUUCAACUAGGUCCGAGCCGUUCCAUCCAACAUCAUGGUAAAAUACUUGGUCAUUGCAGCAUCGCUAACCUCCAACAGCUCCAUAGCCAUCUCAUAACUCUCAAUCCAAGCCCUCGGCUGUAGGUCAGCCGUGUAAUUAGGCACCUUACGAGGCCCCUUGAAAUCCUUGGGCAACCGCUCAUUGCGUAUGGCUGGGACCAGGAAAGGUACGCCUCCGGUUCUUGUGGCCACUCCUGCCUCAACCGAGGUUGCUAGAUAAGCCGGAAAGGUUUGGUGAGCCGCCUGCUCUGCUGCUAUCUGAGCCGCCCGUUCCGCCUCUUGACGAAUCCUCUCCCGAUCCGCCAAGUUAAGGGCUCCAGCCCGCACCGGCUCAUGCCUAUAUGGCCGGUUGUGGCAUUGAGCAUUACUUGACAUCUCUGCAGACUCCAUGUGCCUACUGUAACUCGGGCUUCGGCUUGGGAGAGGAGUUGAAUGAAUCAUGUCUCGACUGUAGGAGUAUGCAUCCUGUUGGGCCAAAGCUGUCUGAAGUAGCUCUCUUACCCUCCGGGUUUUAAUUGUUGCUGGUGAGUCGCCUUCCAUUGGGAGAGUUGCCAAACGAGUCGACGUUGCGAUGAGAUUCUCCAUAGGGUUGGAGAAGUGACCCAGAGGUGUUGAUACAUGACGAGGAGGAGUUGUAUUCAUGCGAGGCGGCUCCAUGGUACGUGGCUGAACUGGUGCACCGGGUGUCGUGACCCGGUUUGCCUCCAGCGGGUUGCUCCCCCUAGUUCCGGGUGUAUGGAACAGGUUCCUUGGAUCCAAUGUUAGAGGCAGACGCGACUGAGUUUUCUGAUGCCUCCUCCUCAUGACCUCGUUUGACGCAUUAAGAUCCACCGAGAGCCGGAAAGUUUCUGCUUGAAGCUGCUGAGCACGAGCAUCCAGAGCUGCUCGUUCUGCUACCAUCCCGGUUUCCUCCGCGGCUAGAUUUUCUUUAGCUUGCACCAUCUCCUCCCGCACGCGUGCCACUUCUGCAUCGUGCUGGGCUUUAUCCGCCGGUUCUACCACAGCGGUUAACAGAGUCGUUAGUUUAUCCAUGAGGUCCAUUAGAACCUGAGCCGGGGGCGCGCGGGGUCUCCUGACCCGGCUGCUACCGACCCGGUAGCUGCUGCUGCCGCUGUGGUGGAGUUCUGCCCGGGCUGCGUCCCCGCCAUGAAGACUCCGGCCCAAUUUGGCGGCUCAAGGGGGUCCGGAAUACUGCUGCCAUCGGAACAGCCCCCGAGCAUGUCAUCUUGCAGCUGGUACAACGAGUCCGUCUCACCUGUUGAUGAUGCAGUAUCAGAGCAGACGGCUGUCUCCCCGCCUUCCAUCGAUCCUUCGGAGUAUUCACCGCCAUGGAUGCAGCCUACGAAGGCAUGUUUCAUGACAGAUUGAACACGGGCGGACCCGGCGUGCUGAGCCGUUUCGAUGAGGUUGGUGUGGACGUCCAGCUCAGGGCCUGAUUUGCCGAUCCGGCCGAUGAAGACGUGAAUUCCGUCGAAGGGGACCUGGUACCCGUACUCAAUCGAGUCAGCCUCGGGGCCCCAGCCUUCGUCAUCGAUGUAGAGUUUGCCGUGACGACUCUUGGUCAUCCGGCCCACAGCUAUCCCUUGAGCCCUUCGAAGUUUCCCUUCAAGAACUCAAAUCCGCCGUGCGCUGGCCCCACGGUGGGCGCCAACUGUCAUAGAGUUGACACGGCAGAUGUCCUAGAGCAAGGACUUAGUUGUAGGGCCAUCGCACAAGGAAGCUUAAAGGGGUUGAUUGGGGCAAAGGACACACGAGAGAGUUUUUAUACUAGUUCGGCCCCUUACGAUGAAGGUAAAAGCCUACGUCUAGUUGGGAUUGGUAUUGCUGAGGUUUCGAUCUCCAAGAGGCUCAACUCACUGGCUUGGUUAUCGACUUGGUUGUUUCUUUUCUAAACCACCACCGGGUCGUCCCCUUAUAUACACGGGUUGACGUCUGGUGGCCUACAGAGUCUCGGCCGGCUCAUAAUCGUGUCUGGCUCGGUGACUUCCCUUAUAUGCCUUUCUUUACAAGUCUUUCCUUACAUACAGCGGUUUACAAUGUCAGGCCUUAAGCCGGCCCCAGGCCUUUGGGCCUUCUAUACAUUUAGUAAACUAUCAUCUUGAAUGUUUAUCGGGCUUCUUGUGUGACCCGCCAUUAGGGCUCACCCGGCCCCUCCUGAGCGGGUCAUACUGGUAGUAAUAUCCCCAGCAGGUCUAGUAAAGUAGUCAGUUGCUUAGGGACAAUUUCGCAACUCCUACCACCACUUUUCCACACUCGCUAUACUAACUUUAUUGCUUCUUUACCUAAAACAGCCCCUAGUUUUUAUUUAUGCGCUCUUUAUUAUCUUGCAAACCUAUCCAAAAACACCUACAAAGUACUUCUAGUUUCAUACUUGUUCUAGGUAAAGCGAACAUUAAGCGUGCGUAGAGUUUUUUUUUGACAGAAAGACUGUAAGGAAACCCCCUACAGUAUAAUUGUUGCAAUAAACCCAAAUUGCAAGUACCAUGCAUUGAACCUGGGUGGGUGGGAAGGCAUCAACCCCUUCCCACCACUAGGCUAUGCCUUAGUCUGCGUGCGUAGAGUUGUAUCGGUGGUCGAUAGAACUUGAGGGAAUAUUUGUUCUACCUUUAGCUCCUCAUUGGGUUCGACACUCUUACUUACCGAAAGAGGCUACAAUUGAUCCCCUAUACUUGUGGGUUAUCACCUAGCUAAAAGGCAUUAAAGAAAAGCGCUUGUCGGGAGACAACCCAAUAUUUACCCUUAUUGUUUUUGUGUGUUAUCAUGAUUAAGCUAUUGUAGUAAUCAUGUAUUAUAGCUUUUUUCAAUAAAGUGCCAAGUAAGACCUUUGGGAAGACUUGGGUGAAAGUUAAUGUGAUCUUGCUAUAAAAAAACAGAAACUUUGCGCUCACGAGAUUAGCUGUCAUUUUUUACAGAAGAGUGCGAUUGAGUUGAUUCUUUUUCAGAAGAUUAUUAGACAAAUUCCUCACGUCCACCAAUUUAUUUUAUAAUUUUUGGAGUAGCAUAAGUAUGGUUGGUGUUCAGAUCAUUACAUAUUGUACUGUUUCUGACAGAUUCUGUUUUCAUUGCAUAGUUUGCUUGUUUUCUAGUUUCUAUGGCUUAUAUUUCUCAAUAUAAAUUGUAGAAAUGAUAUGGUACAGUAGGAAUUGUGUGAGAAAAAUUAUGAACCUUGUCUUCGAUAGUACCAAAGUGAAUGGUUUACUCUUUAUCAUACUAACCUAUCUCACGAAGUUCCGUUAAGUUUUGUGUGAUUGAAGUUUUCAAGCUUUGGGUGAGAUAUCUAUAUGAGGAGAAUAAGGAGUGGAAAGACCCUAAGCAUGGGGAUGCCCAAGGCACCCCAAGGUAAUAUUCAAGGAAGACUCAAGCGCCUAAGCUUGGGGAUGCCCCGGAAGGCAUCCCCUCUUUCGUCUUCAAAACUAUCGGUAUACCUUACUCGGGGCUAUAUUUUUAUUCGUCACAUGAUAUGUGUUUUUCUUGGAGCGUAUUUUCAAUUUUACUUGCUAUUUGAAUAAAAUCUUUGGAUCUGAAAUCUUGAAUGAAAAAGAAUCCUCCCAUGGUUAUUUAAUUAUUUGACUACUCAGUAUUCUUCACUUAUAUCUUUUUGGAGUAGUUUGUCAUUUACUUGUGUGCUUCACAUAUAUCCUAUCAGUAAAUGGUUGAAUGAAUUGAAUAUCAUAAAUCUGAAUUUAUAUAUGUUUCAUAUGCUUACAACAUGGGAGUAAUGACUUCACACAUAAUAAGUAUAAGUAGUAAACUUAUUGGAAGUUAGCAAACGCAGAAUUGGUCACUUGAACAAUUCAUGAAAGAAUAUUGAAGGAAGAGAGAUUUCACAUAUAAAUAUACUAUCUUUGACAUCUUUUGCAAUUGUGAGCACUCAUUAAAAUGUGACAUGCUAAAAGGUUGAUGUUGGACAAGGAAGACAACUUAAUGGGUUAUGUUUUCCUAUAUCCGAAACGUUAUAUUGUCUUGGAUCAUCCAACAUGUUGAGCUUGCCUUUCCCUCUCAUGCUAGCCAAAUUCUUUGCACUAAGUAGAGAUACUACUUGUGCUUCCAAACAUUCCUUAAACCAGUUUUGUCAUGAGAGUCCACCAUACCUACCUAUGGAUUGAGUAAGAUCCUUCAAGUAAGUUGUCAUCAUUGCAAGCAAUAAAAGUUGCUCUCUAAAUAUGUAUGAUUUAUUAGUGUGGAGAAAAUAAGCUUUAUACGUUCCUGUGAUGUGGAAGAAAUAGAAGCGACAGACUGCAUAAUAAAGGUACAUAUCACAAGUGGCAAUAUAAAUUGACGUUCUUUUGCAUUAAGAUUUUGUGCAUUCAACCAUAAAAGUGCAUGACAACCUCUGCUUCCCUCUGCGAAGGGCCUAUCUUUUACUUUUACCUUCUAUAGUUUAUACAAGAGUCAUGGUGAUCAUUACCUUUCCUUUUUCCACUUUUUUCCUUUGGCAAGCACUUUGUGUUGGAGCGAUCCGGAUAUAUAUAUCCACUUGGAUAUAGGUUUUCAUAAAUUAUUAUUGUUGACAUUACCCUUGAGCUAAAAGGUUGGGAGGCGAAACUUUAAGCCCCUAUCUUUCUUUGUGUCCAAUUAAAACUUUGAACCCAUAAAUAUCAAGUGAGUGUUAGCAAUUGUGAAAGAUUAAAUGAUAGUUGAGUAUGUGGAGUUUGCUGAACCAAAGCUCUUACAUAGACCCUUCCUGAAAAUAAGAUGAAUUGCAAUUGUUUGAUGACUAAGAGCAUGGUUUGUUAGUUUUCAAAAAAGUUUAUGAUCUAUACUUUAACAUGUGAAUAGCUUGUUACUUGAUCAUGAUAAGUUUUAUGAGUUGAGCUACUGUUAUGAUAUAUAAUGAUGCUAGAAAAAUUGAUUGGAACUAUCAUUGAUCAAACUCAUGCACUUGCUAGCAUUCAUACUUCAUAAAUUGUUUCUUUUAUCAUUUACCUACUCGAGGACGAGUAGGAAUUAAGCUUGGCGAUGCUGAUACGUCUCUAGCGUAUCUAUAAUUUAUGAAGUAUUCAUGCCAUGUUCAUAAUAGUUUUAUAUGAUUUUGGUAUGAUUUGAAUAGAACUAACCCGGACUGACGCUGUUUUUAGCAGAACUACCAUGGUGUUGUUUUUGUGCAGAAAUAAAAGUUCUCAGAAUGCGAUGAAAAUCAACGGAGAAUUUUCUGGAAAAUAUAAGAAAUACUGGAACAAAAAUCUAUCGGGGAAGAGACCCGUGGGACCCACGAGGGUGGGGGCGCGCCCACCCCCUCCCCCUCCCUCUAGGCGCGCCCCUGUGCCUCGUGGACUUCCCGUGGUGCCCCUGACUUGUUCUCGACGGCAACCUCUCCUAUAAAUGGCCAAACCUCCAGAAAAUAACCUAGAUUGGAAGUUCUGCCGCCGCAAACCUCUGUAGCCACGAGAAAUAAAUCUAGGGCCUCUCUGGCACCCUGCCAGAGGGGGCCAUCAUCACCAGAGGGCAUGGAGGAGGAUCCCGGAGGGGCCAUCAUCACCAUGAAGGCCAAGGACCAGAGGGGGAACCUCUCCCCAUCCAGGGGGGAGGCCGUGGAGGAGGAAGCACAAGGGGGAGAACCUCUCUCUCUCUCUCUCUCUCUCUCUCGGUGGCAUCAAAGUGCCAUCGGGAGAGGAAUCAUCGCCGCGGUGAUCGUCUUCAUCAACAUAACCAUCAUCAUCACCAUCCUCAUCUCUUUUAUGUGGUCCACUCUCUCGUACCCCGUUGUAAUCCCUACUUGAACAUGGUGCUUUAUGCCACAUAUUAUGAUCCAAUGAUGUGUUGCCAUCCUAUGAUGUUUUGAGUAGAUAUCCUUUGUCUUUGGGUUGAUUGAUGAUCUAGAUUGGUACGAGUUGUAUGUUUUAUUUUGGUGUUGUUCUAUUGUGCCCUCCGUGUCGCGCAAGAGUGAGGGAUUCCCGUUGUAGGGUGUUGCAAUACGUUCAUGAUUCGCUUAUAGUGGGUUGCUUGAGUGAUAGAAGCAUAAACCUGAGUAAGGGGGUUGUUGCAUAUGGGAUAAAGGGGACUUGAUGCUUUAAUGCUAUGGUUGGGUUUUACCUUAAUGAUCUUUAGUAGUUGCGGAUGCUUGCUAGAGUUCCAAUCAUAAGUGCAUAAGAUCCAAGAAGAGAAAGUAUGUUAGCUUAUGCCUCUCCCUCAUAUGAAAUUGCAAUGAUGACUAUCGGUCUUGUUAACAAUUGCCUAAGACAAUCCCGCACAUUGAUCCACCAUUAUUCCACACUCGCUAUUUAUAAUAUUUAGUAAUAUAUUCUAACUUUAUGAUAACAACACCUACUUUUAUAUUUUAUCUCUCCGAUACCAUGCAAAGUUAUCCUCUUCAUACCCACAACGUAGUUUUAUUUCUCGUUUCUAGUUGGAAACAAACGUUCGGUGUACGUAGAGUCGUAUCAGUGGCAGAUAGGUCUUGAGAGAAUAUUGAUCUUACCUUUAGCUCCUUGUGGGUUCGACACUCCAUACUUAUCACUUCCACCAUUGGGAAUUGCUACGAUGAUUCCCUACACUUGGGGAUUAUCAAUGAUCGGGUGUGAUAAGCUCUACGUUCACAUACAACGGGUGCAAGCCAGUUUUGCACAAGCAGAAUACUCGGGUUAAACAUGACAAGCCUAGCAUAUGCAGAUAUGGCCUCGAACACUGAGACCGAAAGGUCGAGCGUGAAUCAUAUAGAAGAUAUGAUCAACAUAGUGAUGUUCACCAUUGAAAACUACUCCAUCUCACAUGAUGAUCGGACAUGGUUUUGUUGAUAUGGAUCAUGUGGUCACUUAGAUGAUUAGAGGGAUGUCUAUCUAAGUGGGAGUUCUUAAGUAAUAUGAUUAAUUAAACUUUAAUUUAUCAUGAACUUAGUCCUGGUAGUUUUUGCAUAUCUAUGUUGUAGAUCAAUAGCUCGCGUAUAGCUCCCAUGUUUUAUUUUUGAUAUGUUCCUAGAGAAAAAUAAGUUGAAAGAUGAUAGUAGCAAUGAUGCGGACUGGGUCUAUGAUCUGAGGAUUAUCCUCAUUGCUGCACAGAAUAAUUAUGUCCUUGAUGCACCGCUAGGUGACAGACCUAUUGCAGGAGGAGAUGCAGAUGUUAUGAACGUUUGGCAAGCUCGGUAUGACUACUUGAUAGUUUAGUGCGCCAUGCUUUACGGCUUAGAACCAGGACUUCAAAAACAUUUUGAACACCAUGGAGCAUAUGAGAUGUUCCAAGAGCUGAAAUUGGUAUUUCAGACUCAUGCCCGUGUUAAGAGGUAUAAGACCUCUGACAAGUACUUUGCCUACAAGAUGGAGGAGAAUAGCUCAACCAGUGAGCAUGUGCUCAGAAUGUCUGAGUACUACAAUCGCUUGAAUCAAGUGGGAGUUAAUCUUCUAGAUAAGAUAGUGAUUGACAGAGUUCUCUAGUCACUAUCACCAAGUUACUGGAACUUCGUGAUGAACUAUAAUAUGCAAGGGAUGACGGAAAUAAUUCCCAAGCUCUUCGUGAUGUUGAAAUCGAUGAAGGUAGAAUUCAAGAAAGAGCAUCAGGUGUUGAUGGUUAACAAGACCACUAGUUUCAAGAAAAGGGGGCAAAGAAAAAGAAAGGGAACUUCAAAGAAUGGCAAGCAAGUUGCUACUCCCGUGAAGAAACCCAAAGCUAGACCUAAGCAUGAAGGAGUGCUUCUACUGCAAAGGAAAUGGUCACUGGAAGCGGAACUGCCCCAAGUAUUUGGCGGAUAACAAGGAUGGCAAAGUGAACAAAAGUAUAUAUGAUAUACAUGUUAUUUAUGUGUACUUUACUAGUGUUCAUGGUAGCCCUUGGGUAUUUGAUACUGGUUCAGUUGCUAUGAUUAGUAACUUGAAACAGGAGUUACAAAAUGAACAGAGACUAGUUGAGGGCGAGGUGAUGAUGUGUGUUGGAAGUAAUUCCAAGGUUGAUAAGAUCACCAUCGCACACUCCCUUUACCUUCGGGAUUAGUUUUAAACCUAAAAUAAAUGUUAUUUGGUGUUUGCAUUGAGCAUAAUAUGAUUGGAUCAUGUUUAUUGCAAUACGGUUAUUCAUUUAAGUCAAAGAAUAAUUGUUAUUCUGUUUACAUGAAUAAAACCUUCUGUGGUCAUAUACCCAAGGUGAAUGGUUUAUUGAAUCUCGAUCGUAGUAAUACACAUAUUCAUAAUAUUGAUGCCAAAAUAUGCAAAGUUGAUAAUGAUAGUGCAACAUACUAGUGGCACUGCCGUUUAGGUCAUAUUGGUGUAAAGCGCAUGAAGAAACUCCAUGCGGAUGGACUUUUGGAAUCACUUGAUUAUGAAUCAUUUGAUGCUUGCGAACCAUGACUCAUGGGCAAGAUGACUAAGACUCCGUUCUCCGGAACAAUGGAGCGAACCACUGACUUAUUGGAAAUAAUACAUAGUAAUGUAUGCGGUCCGAUGAGUGUUGAGGCUCACGGCGGGUAUCGUUAUUUUCUGACCUUCACAGAUGAUUUAAGUAGAUGUGGGUAUAUCUACUUAAUAAAACACAAGUCUGAAACAUUUGAAAAGUUCAAAGAAAUUCAGAGUGAAGUUAAGAAUCAUCAUAACAAGAAAAUAAAGUUUCUACGAUCUGAUCGCGGAGGCAAAUAUUUGAGUUACGAGUUUGGCCUUCAUUUAAAAACAAUGUGGAAUAAGUUUCACAACUCAUGCCACCUGGAACACCACGGAGUAAUGGUGUGUCCGAACGUCGUAACAGUACUUUAUUAGAUAUGGUACGAUCUAUGAUGUCUCUUGCCGAUUUACCACUAUCGUUUUGGGGUUAUGCAUUAGAGACAACUGCAUUCACGUUAAAUAGGGCACCGUCUAAAAAUCCGUUGAGACGACACCAUAUGAGCUAUGUUUUAGCAAGAAACCUAAGCUGUCGUUUCUUAAAGUUUGGGGUUGUGAUGCUUAUGUGAAAAAGUUAUAGCUUGAUAACCUCAAACCCAAAUCGGAGAAGUGUGUCUUCAUAGGAUACCCAAAAGAAACUGUUGGGUACACCUUCUAUCACAGAUCCGAAGGGAAGAUCUUUGUUGCUAAGAGUGGAUCCUUUCUAGAGAAGGAGUUUCUCUCGAAAGAAGUGAGUGGGAGGAAAGUAGAACUUGAUGAGGUAAUUGUACCUUCUCUCGAAUUGGAAAGUAGCUCAUCACUGAAAUCAGUUCCAGUGAUGCCUACACCAAUUAGUGAGGAAGUUAAUGAUGAUGAUCAUGAAACUUCAAAUCAAGUUACUACCGAACCUCGUAGGUCAACCAGAGUGUGUUCCGCACCAGAGUGGUACGGUAAUCCUGUUUUGGAAGUCAUGUUACUAGACCAUGACGAACCUACAAACUAUGAGGAAGCGAUGAUGAGCCCAGAUUCCACGAAAUGGCUUAAAGCCAUGAAAUCUGAGAUGGGAUCCAUAUAUGAGAACAAAGUAUGGACUUCGAUUAACUUGCCUGAUGAUCGGUGAGCCAUUCAGAAUAAAUGGAUCUUCAAGAAGAAGACCGACGCUGAUAGUAGUGUUACUAUCUACAAAGCUUGAAUUGUCGCAAAAGGUUUUCGACAAGUUCAAGGUGUUGACUACGAUGAGAUUUUCUCACUCGUAUCGAUGCUUAAAAGUCUGUCCGAAUCAUCUUAGCAGUUGCCGCAUUUUAUGAAAUCUAGCAAAUGGAUAUCAAAACUACAUUCCUUGUUGGAUUUAUUAAAGAAUAGUUGUAUAUGAUGCAACCAUAAGGUUUUGUCAAUCCUAAAGGUGCUAACAAAGUGUGCAAGCUCCAGCAAUCCAUCUAUGGACUGGUGCAAGCAUCUCAGAGUUGGAAUAUACGCUUUGAUGAGUUGAUCAAAGCAUAUGAUUUUAUACAGACUUGCGGUGAAGCCUGUAUUUACAAGAGAGUGGGAGCACUACAGCCUUUCUGAUAAGUAUAUGUGAAUGACAUAUUUUUGAUCGAAAAUGAUGUAGAAUUUUUCUGGAAAUCAUAAAGGAGUGUUUGAAAGGAGUUUUUCAAAGAAAGACCUCGGUGAAGCCACUUACAUAUUGAGCAUCAAGAUCUAUAGAGAUAGAUCAAGACGCUUGACAUAUUUUUCAAUGAGUACAUACCUUGACAAGAUUUUGAGAAAAAAAGUCCAUUUUACUCCCUUAAAUAAAAUGGGUGGUUCGCAUAACCCCCUGAAUUUUUUUUCGGUUCAGUUAACCCCCUAAUCUAUCCCAAACCGUUCAAAAAUCAUCUCUAGCUGGUUUUUUGAGCUCAUUUGCUGACAUGGACAUAGUCAAGGCGGUAUUUGACCAGUGGGGUGUGGGGCCCAUUCGUCAAUUGAAUCCCCACUCUCCUCCUCGACGCCUAGAGAGCAUAAUCUACGCUUGGUUUAUGCCGCCGGCGUUGUAGUUCUUAGCCCGCGUGGCCAACACCUCCCCCUCCCCUUCAAUCCAUGUCCUAGAGCUUCCCCUCGCUCUGCUAUACGUUCCUGCCAAAGGACUUUAUCCUAGUCACCCUAAAUCACCGGCGACUAUGUCUUCUUCCCCGCCUCUGGCAUUGACUGUCGCCGCCUCGAUCUCUUCCUUCGGUGAGCCCCGCUUCUCCUUCUCUGCUUCCUAAGCACCGUGGUGCUCCUCUGAAGCUGAUCGACCCAUCAAUUUGGAGCUGCGCAUCCCUGAGGAGCUCUCCCCGCAUGGCCAAGCUCCAGCCCCCGCUGCUGCUAUGGGUGGCGCACUGCGCGAGUAGGCUACAUAGAUGAGGGAGGGAACGGAGAGGCUCCGGAGGAGCAGGGGCUCACCUAGGGGGUGCUGGCACAGGAAGGGGGACUAGAAGUGCUCUGCAGGGACGCCAUGGACGCCGAAGGCGGCGACCGGGGCGCAGGCUUGCGGGGAAGGGGUCGCGGGCCUCACCGGGAACCUGUCCAGAAGGUGCGUGAGGUCGUCUCGCGUCAACGAAGGGGUCAUGGAGAUCGGGGGCGCGCUGGUGAUGGCAGAUUUUAGCGUGGUGGCUGGCGGCAGUGGUGAGGUAGAUGACAAUGCCAGGCUCGAUUGGGGUUGGCUUGGCACAAUGGAUUUGGCAGAGUUGAAGAGGGUAACGAGGCAGAUGAUCCCGACAUUUUGGUGUGGCUCUAUGCUUCCUCCGGCCACGUGCAUGGCGAUGGUGGCCAUCGACCGAAGCUCGGGCACUCUCGGGGUGGCUGCAGAUGUGGGAGAGAAGGCAGAGGAGGGCCCCACUAGUCAACAACGCUUUGACCUCGUCCAUGUCAGCAAAACCACCGGUGCAAACCCACCAAUGAUGAUUUUUGAACGGUUUGGGAUAGAUUAGGGGGUUAAGUGAACCAAAAUAAUGUUCAGGGGGUUAUGUGAACCACUCAUUUUCUUCAAGGGAGUAAAAUGGACUUUUUUCAGAUUUUGAAGUAGUUCAAAAUGGAACAGUCAAAGGAGUUCUUGCCUAUGUUGCAAGGUGUGAACUUGAGUAAAGACUCAAAACCCGACCAUGGCAGAAAAUAGAAAGAGAAUGAAAAGUCAUUCCCUAUGCCUCAGCCAUAGGUUCUAUAAAGUAUGCUAUGUUGUGUACCAGACCUAUUGUGUACCUCACCAAGAGUUUGGCAAGAGGGUACAAUAGUGAUCCAGGAGUGGAUCAUUGGACAUCGGUCAAAAUUAUCCUUAGUGGAAUAAGGAUAUGUUUCUCGGUUAUGGAGGUGACAAAAAGAUUCGUCGUAAAGAGUUACGUCGAUGCAAGUUUUGACACCGAUCUGGAUAACUCUGAGUCUCAAUCUGGAUACAUAUUGAAAGUAGGAGCAAUUAGCUAGAGUAGCUCCGUGCAGAGCAUUGUAGACAUAGAAAAAUUUGCAAAAUACAUACGGCUCUGAAGGUGGCAGACUCGUUGACUAAAUUUCUCUCACAAGCAAAACAUGAUCACUCUUUGGGUGUUAAUCACAUAGCGAUGUGAACUAGAUUAUUGACUCUAGUAAACCCUUUGGAUAUUAGUCACAUGGAGAUGUGAACUAAUCACAUAAAGAUGUGAACUAUUGGUGUUGAAUCACAUGGCGAUGUGAACUAGAUUAUUGACUCUAGUGCAAGUGGGAGACUGAAGGAAUUAUGCCCUAGAGGCAAUAAUAAAGUUGUUGUUUAUAUUUCCUUAUAUCAUGAUAAUUUUUUAUUAUUCAUGCUAGAAUUGUAUUAACCGGAAACUUAGUACAUGUGUGAAUACAUAGAAAAAACAUAGUGUCCCUAGUAUGCCUCUACUUGACUAGCUCGUUAAUCAAAGAUGGUUAUGUUUCCUGACCAUAGACAUGUGUUGUCAUUUGAUGAAUGGGAUCACAUCAUUAGAGAAUGAUGUGAUGGACAAGACCCAUCCGUUAGCUUAGCAUAAUGAUCGUUUAGUUUAUUGCUAUUGCUUUCUUCAUGACUUAUACAUGUUCCUAUGACUAUGAGAUAUGCAACUCCAGAAUACCGGAGGAACACCUUGUGUCCUAUCAAACGUCACAACGUAACUGGGUGAUUAUAAAGAUGCUCUACAGGUGUCUCUGAUGGUGUUUGUUGAGUUGGCAUAGAUCGAGAUUAGGAUUUGUCACUCUGAUUGUCGAAGAGGUAUGUCUGAGCCCUCUCGGUAAUGCACAUCACUAUAAGCCUUGCAAGCAAUGUGACUAAUGAGUUAGUUGCAGGAAGAUGCAUUACGGAACGAGUAAAGAGACUUGCCGGUAACGAGAUUGAACUAGGUAUGAUGAUACCGACGAUCGAAUCUCGGGCAAGUAACAUGCCGAUGACAAAGGAAACAACGUAUGUUGUUAUGCGGUUUGACCGAUGAAGAUCUUUGUAGAAUAUGUAGGAACCAAUAUGAGCAUCCAGGUUCCGCUACUGGUUAUUGACCGGAGAUGUGUCUCGGUCAUGUCUACAUAGUUCUCGAACCCGUAGGGUCCGCACGCUUAACCUUUGAUGACGAUUUGUAUUAUGAGUUAUGUGAUUUGAUGACCAAAGUUUGUUCGGAGUCCCGGAUGAGAUCACGGACAUGACGAGGAGUCUCGAAAUGGUCGAGACGUAAAGAUCGAUAUAUUGGAAGGCUAUAUUCGGACAUCGGAAAGGUUCCUAGUGUUCAGGUAUUUUUCGGAGUACCGGAGAGUUACGGGAAUUCGCCGAGGGAAGUAGUGGGCCUUAAUGGGCCAUACGGGAAAGGAAAGAAGGACCUCAAGGGUUGGCCGCGUGCCCUCCCAUGGCAAGUCCGAAUUGGACAAGGGAGGGGGCGGCGCCCCCUCUCUUUCCUUCUCCCUCUCCUACUCCUUCCCCUUCUCCCCUCUUGAAAAAGGAAGGGGCCUCCAACUAGGAUUGGGAAUCAUAGUUGGACUCCCCCUAUAGGCGCGCCCCUCCUAGGCCGGCCUCCUCUUUCCCCCUCUCAUUUAUAUACGUGGGUAGGGGGCAUCCCAAAGGCACUCCAAGAUUUGUCUUAGCCGUGUGCGGUGCCCUCCUUCAUAGUUUUCCACCUCGGUCAUAUUGUCGUAGUGCUUAAGCGAUGCCCUGCGUCGGUAACUUCAUCAUCACCGUCAUCACGCCGUCGUGCUGAUGAAACUCUCCCUCGGCCUCAGCUGGAUCUAGAGUUCGAGGGACGUCACCGAGCUGAACGUGUGCAGAUCGCGGAGGUGUCGUGCGUUCGGUACUUGAUCGGUUGGAUCGCGAAGACGUUCGACUACAUCAACCACGUUACUUAACGCUUCCGCUUUCGGUCUAUGAGGGUACGUAGACAUACUCUCCCUUUUUAUUGCUAUACAUCUCCUAGAUAGAUCUUGCAUGUUCGUAGGAAAAUUUUAAAAUACUGCGUUCCCAACAGCAAGUAGCAAGGAGAACAGUCAUGGGAGGCUCUCUUUAUUCUCCUAGUGCACCCCUGGCCACCUAUAUAGAUGGCUGCAAGGCUUGGGUCGACCAACCCUUGGAGGAGUCCCUCCUCCUUGCGUCAAACAGCCCUAGUACAACUAGGACUCCCUUCCGUUGAUGUUGUUACUACUGUUAAUGUCACUGAGAACAGACUUCUCCUCUACACCAUUGCACCUACAAUGCAAGAGUUCUAGGAAAAGAAGAAGAAGAAGGUACUUGAAGAAUGUACAACCAAGAAGAACAAAGUGAGGGCUAAGUCCUAACACAACAGAUCACGAGCUAGGUCUCAUCUUACUCUCCGCCCCCACGUCGCCCACCCUGGCGACACGGGGGAAACCGCACCCACCGCCGCCGGUCAAACCCCCCUCCACCCGCCGCCGCCACGCCGCCGCCGGAGGGCCGGCCGGCAAAGCCGCGCCGCGCGCCGAGAUGGCGGCGGCNNNNNNNNNNNNNNNNNNNNNNNNNNNNNNNNNNNNNNNNNNNNNNNNNNNNNNNNNNNNNNNNNNNNNNNNNNNNNNNNNNNNNNNNNNNNNNNNNNNNNNNNNNNNNNNNNNNCGACGAUGGCCGCUGUGUGCCAGCCUUGGCCACAGGGUGCCGUCCCCAGCAGUUCUCCCCCCCCCCUCUGUGUGUGGCCCAGCCCUGCUGGUGGUGCUGCCCUUGGACUGGGCACAGGAUCUGUGGCCGGUCGCAUGGGUGUCCGCGGCAUGCCUUCCUGCUGGCGGGCCCCUCGCCGCCGGCGGCUCGUCCUCUCCCUUGAGCCAUGGAGACGGCUUUUACGGUGGCAACGAGUAUACAGUGCUAGUGGUGGUCUUGAAGCCCUCAAGGCGGGUGUUUGCUGGCGCUGCUCCGGCCCCGACGACCUUGGACCCGCGUCCCUUUCGGUGUCCAUGGCUGCCGGCGUCCUCUGCCGGGCGGCUCCGGCCUCGGCGACCUAGCAGCUGCGUUCCUUCCAGCUUGCCUAGUCCCCCAUGUCCCGACGACUAUGGCCAUGGUAGCCAGGAUCUGCGUCCCUCCAGUCCUUGCUUGUCGGUGUUGCCGAUCGCCGUCGCCCCACCCCCUUGUGGCUUGCUUCAUGCCCGCCCUACCUUGUAUGCCUAAAAGCCCCCGCUUUUGCCAGAUCCAAUGUUCGUGGCUUCGGAGGCGGUGCCACCCUUCGACAGCAGUUGCAGCCCCGCCAACCCCCUUCCGACAUGGUGAUUCCGACCGGCGUUGGCAUCCUCAUCUUUGUUUCCAGAGACGGUGGCUAUGGGAUUGCUCAGCCUCAGGCCAGGGAGAAAUCCCUGCUCGGCUUGCCGAUGCUGGCAGCGGUGGCGUCUGCGAACGUCGUUUUCCUUCUUGGAGGCGUUGUUAAGGCCCUCGGCUGCGCCCCUCUUCGAGCUCAGGGGAAACCCUAGGUCCGGUUCCUCCGGAUCAGAUGGUGACGGCGUCUCGACGUCGUCCUCCUUCUUGAAGGCGCCAUCUUGCUCGCUCGAGGUGUCCCCGGUUUUGGUUCCCGAGAUGUUGAUGGUCGAGUUGGUUUGACGUUGCCACUCUUGGUUCAGGUUUGGUAGGUUUAGCUGUGUUGUAUCCUCUCUUCGGGUCAAGCAUCACUUUUCUUUCUGCUCCGGUCACCAUGUUCACGCCUCCUGCGUUUGUGUCAUGUGUUGUACUCCUAUCUAUACUCAUUCUAUUUUCUUCUAUCAAUGCAAUGAUACGCAAGCUUUGCGUAUUCGAGAAAAAAAAGAACAAAGUGAAUGGGCUUUCCACAACAUUACUGCUUUACUACAAGCUUAUUGCACCAUCUGUUUAUCGAAAUAUAUGUACCCUCAAAACCAGUCCCACGGAAAUAGGUAUAUUGCUUUCCAUUUACGAUCCAUUAUAGAUAUUUCCGGAGGGAUAUACGAGAGGAAAUAGAUGAUAGACACAAACAAGUUCCCAAAUCCUGGAGCGGGACAAUGGGCGUGCCCCGGCCCUGCAUGUCACAAACUCCUGCCUACAUAAAGCUCCUAGUUCAGGCAUCAGCACUCAUAGUUGUGAUUCAGACUUGGGUCAUGUUGCAAUUCAAAGCAGAGAGGAGAUUAAUCUCCCCGGGGUGGUGAGUCGCUUAAGUGGUGGAAAAAUCAGCAUUGCAUUUCACCGCUUCUGAGAUCACGUGGUGAAGGCUAAAAUAUUUCUCGGUGUUUUUUUUUCCUGAACUUUUCAAUGUUGUAUUGGUCCUCUAAUACUAAGAUGAGGUAUAUAUAGAGUACAAGUGUGAGAGAAAGACACUUGGGGUAGAGGCAAGUCAUAGAUAAUUUUAUACUUACUCAGUUCGAUUGAUUUUAUGUUCUUCAUCGCUUCCUACCUUUUCUCCUUCCUCUACCCCACGCAUCUCGUGCGGAGGCAUUGUGUUUAUCGCGGCAAUUCAUACCUGCACUUUGCGCCCUCGGGAUUAAGAAGACAAAGUAAAGCGUCUUGAAUUGUUCGUUACUGCUGAUUACUGAAAAGUAUUACUCCCUUUAAUUCAAAUUAAUUGACAAGAUUUGGUACACCAUUAGUACAAAGUUGUACUAAAGCCCCAUCAAUUAAUUUGGAUCAGAGGGAGUACCUCUGUUAGGAACAGAGGGUGUACUUUGUAGUAUUAGGUUGGACAUAGCGCACUCUGAUGAAUUGGAUAUGUAAAUAAGUAUAGUUCUAGAUGGAUUUGAUAUGUAAAUAAGUAUAGUUCUAGAUGGAUUUGAUAUGUAUUUCCAUACAAACUUCAAAAUACUAAUCCUGCCAGAGACAUCCUGAAUUACAAUAGCUUUGAUAGUUACCAUCCACAUAGUCCAGAUCUAUUCCUUCUUCGCAACAUUCACGACACAAUUACGCAAACUCGACAUAAGGUUCAGACAAAGAGAAACAGAAGCGAACCAAAUAAUUACUCCGCGGUCUUCUUAGUCACCUCGACAAACCAGACACGAAUCGGGGAAAAAUGGGCGUUUUCACCGCAGCUCAGGUGGCAAAACAUCCAGUAAAACCCCAGUUUACUUCUUCGCCUUGCUCACGAGUCUCUGCCCCCCACGGUUUUGCCAAGCACCCUUCACAGGCCACCUCGGCUCCUGCAAAGGUCCAUCGGCUGCUCCACACCCUUCUCUCAACGGCGCUCUAGAGCCUCCCACCUGCGACUGAAGCUUGCUGGCAGCACUCAGGAGCUUAUCUUCUAACAAAUCCUGUGCAGCAGCAGGAAGUUUCCCCUUCCCCUUAUUUUUCCGGGUGCUUUCUUUCGAGCAAACAGCUCCACCGCCACCGUUUCCUUGGAGGCUUGUAAGGCGCAAAUUCGCGUAGUAGGCAUCAGCAAGCUCCUUCUGCUUUUGAGGAUCAGGCAGCAACCUGGACAUUUCAAGAACGAGGUGCGACAGACCAAAUUGUUCGACAUAUGAAAGGUACUUUGAAGCAUUGAUAACGCCUUGACGGUACUCCCCAGAGAUCUCUUUGAACAUCGAGUACCUGUCCCGGUCCAUUCCUAAUGCAGCCUGCAUUCUUUCAACCAAUGAAUUAUUCGCUGCACGAACAUCAUCCACAGAGCACAACACCUGGCGGCUCACAGGUGUUUCUUGCCUUCCAUUUCCUGCAGAAGUCAGACUCAGCGAUCCACUAACGUGAGGACUUGUGUUGGGUGUAGGCCAACUUGGGGAGUGACUUGAACCAGAAGGGAUCAAAUCAGUAUUUUUAAGGGACCAAUGCUGAGCAGAAUGGUGUGUAUUCACAAUUCCGUUGCUUUGUUGUCGGAGCCCAAAUGCAUGAGUGUUCUCAGCUACCUUUCGUACCCCCUGCUCUGUUGACGCAGCAGUUCUGUUAUUACUGCCUGAUAAAGGAGGGAAUUCCAAAUCCAUUGCGCGUGCAGCAGUCCGUGAGCUCCGACUGGCAAAUGGUGUAUACCCUGAUUGCCCUGAUAUGGGAGGGGAUGGAGCUUCUUGAAAACAGGAACCUAUUCUUGCAUCAGGAACCUCCUGGCGGGAGAGGGGAGGAAAGUGUGGUUGCUGCCAAACACGGUUCAUCCCAGAGCUUUGGCCUGCUUGUGAUGAGUGCCCAGAACUAGAUCGCAAGGGAGACACAACAGCAGCAACUUGAUUUCCUGAGCCACGGCCCAUAUUUGCAAUGCCAUUCUGAACAGACAGCAAGGUAUUGUCAACAGAACCAUUGGGGAGGCAAGCGUUGUGCCUUCUACCUCUGCCAUUACUCUGCUCUAGCUCGCUCCGGUCUCUAGAACUGGUUGGUGUCUGUCAAUGAAGGGCAAAGUAAAAUAGAUCAGCUUACCGCGCCAUUUUUAUUAUCAAUAUGUAUAUGCUAGCAUGUCAAUAGUUGGCUUAACACAAGAGAUGGAAAUAAGGCAGAUUCGUUUGUACACCUGGAGAGCAGAAUUCUUCUGUGCAUGAGGCAUGCGCUUCCUAUGCUCCACAGCAUUGUGCCUCU